CCAAUCUCACCUCAAACCAUCAUGUCUCAUCCCUGUUGACUAGCAAUCCUAAGUUUCCCAAGGGCUUUUGAAGAAUUUUCCAUAUAGAAAUAUAUACUUCUAUAUAUUAUAUAGUAUUAUAGUUUCUGUGGUAAAGAAUAUUAAUCAUAUAAAUCUCCUAAACCAUAUGAUAAUGCCAAAGUCGUUUUCGAAUAGUAUGGUCUAAAAAAGAAGGCGAUUCAAGUAACACCAUCCUGCAGACUUGUCAAAACUGCCAAAACUGACUCCCUACCUCAUUCAGACCCCUCUCCCAACUUCUCCAUCUUCAUACAUAUAAAAAUCCAAACAACCCUUUUCCUUCAUCGAAUCCUUCUCUCUCUAUAUCUCUCUCUCAGGGCUGCCAGGUUCUCAUACAGAAUUGUCCCGACAUCAAAAUCCAUGGCUUCUUCAGCUUCUUGGUACUGUGCCCUUCUCCUUGUGUCUCUUAUUUUGUUGAGUUCUUCUGUGGAGUCAUCUCUUGGGGGUGAGCGCAUCAGAGGGAACCAGCUCGUGGACCGAGCUUGCGAUGAAGUUUACGUGGUCGGAGAAGGAGAAACCCUUCAUAUGAUCAGCGAUAAGUGUGGGGAUCCUUUCAUAGUGGAGCAGAAUCCUCAUAUUCAAGAUCCAGAUGAUGUGUUUCCUGGGCUUGUCAUCAAGAUUACUCCUUAUAAGUCUAGGAAGCUUUUGAGGUAGUUGAGUUUGAUUUUUCCUUUUCCCUUUGUUCUGUUUGGUUGCCGAGAACAUAGAGAAAAUUUUCUUUUCUUUUUCUCUAUUGGAGUCAUGUGUAUAUAUAUCCUUCUUUAUUGUAAUUUUUAAUGUUGGCACACCAACUACAUCUAUACGAUUAUGUUUGUAUUAUUUGAAUAAGCAAUAAUUCAAAAUUCUUGAUUAAAUUAUUAUUAUUUUAUUAAAUUUGAGAAUUUGUAAUUCUAAUGAUUAAAUUUUUAUAAUUUCGUUGGAAUGAUCCUUGACUCCCUUGGCAAGUGAAAGCAUUUCUUAUCUUGUUAAUGGUAUCGUAUCAUCAUGCAUAUGAAAGAAUCAACUAGAUGAAAGUAAAUCAUUAUAUUAUAUUAUAUAAAAUAUUAUUUAAUAUAAAAAAUAAAAAAUAAGAUAAAAAGUCAUUAUUGUGGGUUGAAACUUCACAUGUUUACUCAUUUUCUUACAUCACAUCUUAAAUCGUGAGUUCACGUAUUUAGUUGUUCCUUAUAAUAUUAAAUAGGGAUGACAAUAAGGCGGUUUUUCGGGUACCAAUCUUGCCUUGCCCCGCCCAUAGUGGGACAUGAUUCAAUUUUAAUAAAUGAGUUUGAGAUGGAUUUAAAAAUUUUUUUUUAAAACCCGGGACAGGUUCAGGUAUUGCUCUAUCUUGCCCCGCCCCAAUUAUAUAUAAAAUUAAUUUAAUUUAAAUUUUAUUUUAUUAUUUUUAAUAUAUAGAUAAUAAUAAAAUAUUUUUAAUAAAAUAAUUUAUAAAAAAUAUAGUAAUUUAAUUAUUUAUAAAAUAUAUUUAUUUUAAUGUAAUUAAAAAUUUUAAAAUUAAUUUUUUUUAAAAAAAGUUAAACGGGUGGGGCGGGUAUGGGAAUUUAUCAUACCCGCUCCGCUCCGUUUAAUUUUUUAAAUUGCAUGGGGAUGAGAAUUAUGUUGAAUAAACGGAGCGGGGUUGGGAUGGAGGCAACCCAUCCCAAACCCGCCUUGUUGCCAUCCCUAGUAUUAUAUUUGAAUGAAAUCCAAUUCCUUAAUCUUUUAGCAGUAUCGUAUUAUCAUGCAAGUCAAAGCUUAAAUACAUUUGAUUUUAAAGCCCCAGAUCUAAAAUGUUUAAGACAUUAGAUAUUUGACUAUAUUACCAAAAAAAAAAAAUUUAACUUAUUUUAUAGAUCCAUUGGGAUAACUUUUUUUUUUUAAUUAAAAAUUGAAAUUGAAGUUAAAAUUAUAAUUUUUAAAUAGUAUAAAUAUUUUAUUAGAAAUAAGAUAUCUUCCUAUAUAAAUAAAAAUAAAGUUUUUAUAAUUAGUCCCAUUUCAUUGACAUCUAUACUAAGCUAUUUUUCAAAUCAUAAUUUUUAUUUUUAUUUUUUGAUAAAAAUUAUCAAAACAAGCAUAAAAACUUUUACUUAAAGAGAGGUUUUUAAUACCUGAAAAUUAAGUCUAGAGAGGACCUAGGCCAUGGUCAAUUCCCAUCUCGACCCAAUAAGAAGGCCCAGUAUAUGUGGGCCCAACUUGUACCGACCUUGUCCUAAAUUGGAAGUUAAUGGACCGGUGGGCUGGACAUGUGGCCCAAAUGAUUUUUACUAAGUCCUAUAAAAUCUGUCUAUAAAAUUACCUAACUAACCCUAUGUUUCCCCUUGACUUCAAAAUCUUAUAAAUUAAUUUUGGUUAUAUCAUAAUAUCUUCAUAAAUAUUUUUUUUAUUUAAAUACAUCAUUAAAUAUUAUGAUAAAUCUUUUUAUUUUAUCAAAAUUUAAAUUAAAAAUGUAAUGGCCCCGUCAAUAACUAUAGAGGUGAAUUUGGUUAUGUACCACCAUUAUCUACUCAAGCUCAGCCUAUUCCCUGCCUUUGGUUACAUUCAAGAUAAAAGGUAUAGUUUAUAUAUUGUGAAUGUAAGAUUUUAUAUAUGAUAAUAAUAUAAAUAAUAUAAAUAUUAAUUCGGUUUUUGCCAUCCCUAGCCCAAAAUGAUAACAAAAGCACCAAAUAACAAAAUUUAUUCAAAUGACCAACUUUCAAUCAACCCAAACCUCCUUAAAUUCAUAAUACUCAAGGCCUAAAAUGUCACAAAAUCUUAUUUUAUCCCUUUAUAUAUAUAUAUAUAUAUAUAUAUAUAUAUAUAUAUAUAUAUAUUGUCUUGUGUGGAUAUUAUUGGCGAGGGAUUUAAUGGACCCUUAGGAGGUGUUUGGUACGUCGGAAUAGGGAAUGAAAAUAAUAUUUUGUUUCCUUUCCUAUUUCUUAGUGGAAUGGAAUGAAUUUGAUGAUUCUAUUUCUAGCAUUUGGAUGAACUUAGGAAUGUAAGAUUGGAAUGAUUAUUUGUUUCCAUUCCAAUGUUUGAUAAUAAUAGGAAUGGAAAUGAAAAAGAAAUAAAUUUACAAUAAUAUCCUUACAUAUAAUUUAAAAUAUUUUUUUAUUUUUACUUUUAUUUUAAAAAAAUAAAAUUUGAGAGGUUUUUUGUUAUUAAAUAAUAAGACUAAAAAAAUAUAUAUAUACUCAAUAAAUAAAAAAUUAACCAUAAAAAAUCGUAUAACCCUAAUGCACAAAUAUUCAAUUAUUAUUUUUAUUAAAAAUUUGAAUAAUUUGUCAUGCUUAAGUAGUUAUAAAAUUAUAUUUUUCAAAAAAAGAAUUAUUUAUUAUAAUAUUUAAAUUCUCAAAGCUAGCAAAUGUUUUUCCUAUUUUCAAAAGAGGAAAUAAAAGAAUUCAAAUUUAUUCUAAUUUUCAACAAGUAUCAUAUCCGAUAAAAUCCAUAACCUUAAAAAAAUUUAAAUAUUCAUUUUUUUUUAUCAAAAUUUUAAAUAAUUUGUCAUGCAAAAAAAGCUAUAGAAUUAUAUUUUACUAAGAAAAAAAAGAGAAACAAAAAUAUAAGAACAUAUAAAAGUUUUGUUUUUGUUUGUUUUUUUCUUUUUAUUUUUUUCCUAACCAUUAAAAAUUUUCAAUAUUGUAAACACGUGAAAUCGAAAAAUCUUUUUCCAACCAUUUCAAUUUUUCUCUCCAGUUUCCAUUAAUACAAGAUAAAGAAACAUCAAAGAUUCCAAACAUAAAUUAAUAAAAAAAAAAAUUAAUCGAUUUAUAGAGAAGAAGAAACACAUAUAAAGAAGUAGAAGAAGAAAGAGAAAAUAAGGUAAACCUGAUCGAAGAUGUAGAAGGGAGUUUUCAGAACCUAGUUGUAGCAAACAAUGACGAAUCCUAGAUCCAACAAUCAAAAUGAACAUCCAAAACCCUAUAAAUUAGAAAUUGAUUUUUUUUUUUUUUUAAAUAUCGUGGAAGGUUUAAUUGAUUCAAUUUGGAAGAAUCAUUUGUUGCAGAGAAUUGGAUGAUGAGUGAGUCUCUAGCUUUGCAAAGAAGAUAAGAAGUGGAUGAUGAAUGGAUCUCUACCUUUACAAAGAAGAUAAACAUCGGGUUUGAAGAACAAGAUAAGAGGGUAAAAUAGUAAUUUAGGUUAUUUUAUAUUAUCAAAUAGGUUUAAUGAAUCAGAAUACCACCUACUUUUAAUGAAUGCAAAUCCGACUCAUAAGUUGGAUUUGAUUUCUGCCGGAAUAAUUUUUUAUUUCAUUUCCGCCUUCUUAACAUUUAUCCAAACAUAGGAAUAAGGGAGAAAAGGAAUGAGAUGUCUAUUCCCACUCCCUAUUCCCGUGUACCAAACACCCCCUAAAACGCAUUUAUAUGGGUUAAGAGGAACUUAUACAUAAUAUUAUAAACUUUUUUAGUUUUUUUUCUUAUUUAACAUGAUAUAUUAUAAUCAUCUACCCUUACAAACAUAACAUCUUCAUGUCACGCAAAAUUAUGAUGUAAAAUAUAUAGAUAUUUCUAGUGAGAUCAAAUAAAUAAAGGUUUACAUUGAGAUCAAGGGUCGGCGAUAUAACAUUUAUAAUGACCCACUUUCAAUUAUAUGGAUAUCAUUUAUUUUAAGUAUAGUAGGCCUUUACAAAUUUAGAAAACGAUCAUAUGAUUAAGAGAAAUUUACAUAUAUAUAAUGCUAAAAAAUUUUAUUCUCUUCCUUUAUAUUUGGAAGAUAUCAAGAUAAACAAAAAAAAGUGUAAUGUUGAACAAGCGGAAAACUUUAUCAAAUGUGUAAACUAUUUUAUAAGGACUCAUUCUUAAUGGUAUAAAUAUUGUUUGAUUCAAUAAACUUGUUUUAAAAUGCCCACAAAAUUAAGAGGAUCUAGUACGUAUAUAAUGAAAUUUAAAAAAUUCUAAUAGUAUCAAUAAUAAUGUUUAAAAAGUUCUAAUAAAUAUAAAUUAAUUUUUUUCAUUAAAAAAAACAUAUUUUGAUUUUCAUAUUUAAUUUAUUUAGGUUGAUUUAAUUGUGUUGAAAUUAAAAAAAUCAAAAUCACUUUUUCAAAUUCAAUAAAAAUAUUUGAUAUAUAUAUAUAUAUAUAUAUAUUUUAUUUUAAAAGAGUUGCAUUGUUUUUUGUUGUAAAAAAUUUUAAGAGAAAAUAUAAGGAAAAAGAAAUAGAGAGAAAAAAUAUAAAGAAAUAAUAAUAAUAAUAAUAAAUUUAAAAUCAAUAAAUUAUUUUUAUAUAUUUGUUCAAACUCAUUUAAAUUAUUUUCCUUCGUUAUAUAAAAAUGAACUAAUUUUAAGAUGGAUAAGAUUCUAAUUAAUUUUAUUUAUAUUUAAUUAUUUUUUGUAUAUUUUGUGAUGAAACCAAACAUAAAAAAACCAACCAAACAUUAAAAAAAAUAAUAAUAAUUAAUUUUUUUCUCCUUCUUUAAUAUUUUUUGAGAACCAAACAUGCCUCACACGAAUAAAGAAGUAGCUUUUACUUUGGCUCAAUUUCUUAAAGCUACAAACAAGAAAUUAUUCAUGACUUCCCAACAACUUUUGAAGUGACAACUCUUUUUUUAACACAUUUAUCAUGAAAGGGAUUUUCAUUGAACUUCAAAAUUAAUGAGGAUUUUGACUUCUUAAAAGCCAACCCUUCCCGUGAAUAAGUUACAAAAUCACAACCCCAUGAUUGAAACCUCCACUCACAUAUACGAUGCCAAUAGUGACCCAUCAAACUCUAACCACCCAUAGCAUAUCUUCCCCCACUCCACAAACCCUCAUUUCAAUACUUCCAUUGAUUAUGGCCACAGCUUCAUACCUUAUCCCCCACUUCCCCUGCAACCCACAAAUCACAUCCACAUGGUUCAUGCCACACUCCCCAUAACUAAAAUAACUACCAUUUGUAAAAAACAAGCCAAAAUUGGAACCAUGUAUUCAUAGUCACAUGAAUUAAUGUGAUAAAGAAUCUUGGGACCAUUUCUUUUUGGGAGUCUCACUCAAUGCCUUGUUUUUAUAUACAUACAUGUAGCUAGAAUGUGUCUCAUGGAGCAGUGUGUUACUGUUACAAAAGAUUUAUAGUGGCUUUUGCACCCAAACUCCUUUACAUCACUUGUCUCUUGUUAAUUAUUUUGAGGCAGUGGUUCGUAAUAGAAGAUAUGAUAUGACGGGUCGAGCAUAUUCCAGGAUGAUACUUUGAAAAAGGGAAAUAAUUGUCUUAAUCUAAUCUUUUGUGGCUGGGUGUGAUAAUGAUAUUCCACACCUAGCAUUGUUUGGUGUGCCUGAAAAUUUAUUUAUCUACUACUCAAAGGAAGAAGUAAAGGGUAAAGCAAACAGUACAGUGUGGAAACAGUUAUUUUCUGAUGAAUUUAUGGCAACUCAGAGGCAGGAGGUGUCUUCUUCUUGAUCAGAAAAGGGAUCAACCCAGGUGAGAUUUUCUCAAAGAAAGUGUUUCUACAGCUUUAGAGUUUUCCCAUUUUAUGUGAUGGAUUGGACAGGAAGGAAGUUAAGGUUCUGAAGUUGUCAUCAUCUUCAACAUACUUGCCAUUAAUACGUUUUAGAGAGAGAGAGAGAGAGGCCUUGCUUUUCUUUUUUCUGUGAUUACUGAUCAGUUAUUACCAUGGAAGAAGCGCUUUCAUUUUUACUUUCUUCUCUAUCUGUUGUCUCUCUUCUGUUUUCUUCAACUCUCUUUGGUUGGUUUUCUUAGUGCAGACAGGCUUCCAAAGUUGAAGGCAGACAGUGGUUAUUAUAAAGCUUCAUAAUCUUAAUUUCAACUCUUCAUCAUCUUCCAAUCUCAGACUGUUGCGUAAGUCAUCUGCCAUACACUAAGCUUUUCUUUUCCUGUCGCCAAUCACACUCAAGGCAAAAAACUAAUUCUUAUAUUAUAUUUGUUUGAAAAUUUUCCAGUUCAGAUUUCCCGCCGCCCCCCACUUUGUUUUCUUUUUAAGAUGUCCGUACCUGCUUUUCAUAAACGUACUAAACUUUCUAAUAUUUUUAGGAAACUUGAUCACCAAUUUUUUUUAUUUUAAAUUAUAAAUAUAUUUCUUAGCUAAACAAUCUAUUAUUCUAUUUGUUUCCCUUAGAUCUUGAGAUUAGUUCCAAAUAUCUUCCAUUAAUAACAUAAUAGAAUUAAGAAUAUUACUAUUUUUAUUACAAUAAUCUAUAACUAUUUUCGAGUCACCCUCAAUCUCUAGGUUAAGAACUCAUUGUUCUUGGCAACUAAUAUGUCAUCUUUUAACAUCAUACAUUCUGCAAUAAUUAUUGAAAGACUUAUAUGCCUACUUGCAAUCAUUUUUAUAGUAUCAUUAGAGUCUCUAAUAACCCAUCCCGAAACACUUUUAUUCUCUAUCCUUAAACCAUUAAAAUUUAAUUUGAAUCUCCAUUAAUCGGAGGAAUUCAAUGAAUCCACUUUUCAACCAUUCGAGAGACACUGCGUUCUUCAGUUUGAAGAUAAGAGUUAAUCAUAUAAUCCUGAAGAUUUUGAAAGUUUAAAGUAACUUUCUCAAUUAUGAGAAAGGGGUUGGGUUGGACCUUCUUAAAAAAAAAUACCCAAUUUCUAUGAAUCCAUACAUUUCACAAGAUAAUGGAAUUUUUUUUCCAUAGAAUGCUUGUAAAUUUUGCAGUUAAUUUUAUAGUUUUUAUAUAUCGUUUUGAGCCAAGAAAGGAAGUCACCAUCAUAAAAGAUACGUGUAGGGCAAUUAUACUUAAUGUGAUCCCAAAUUCCUUGAACAAAGGGACAAUAUUUAAAAAUAUGGUCAAUAUUCUCAAUAAUUUGCUUGCAAAGAUGACACAUGUUUGUAAUUUCCAACCUUUUAGUAAUUAGAAACUCACAAGUAGGGAGAGCAUCUCUAAUAACCAUAGGAAAAACUUUAUUUUUGGUAAAAAAAUUAAUUUCCAAAUCCAAUGUAGCAUUUUUUUUUAUCUAAGGUGCAUCGAAGGCUUUCUCAUUGCCUAAGUUGCUUACUUAAGGGUAAACUUACCAUUUUGAGAGAAACCCCCAAAAAUCUUAUCCUCAAUGGGAGAGGAAGAGAUUGGAAUAACUUUAAUAUAUGCUAAAACAUUAAGGGAAGGAAUGCUGAAAUAGAUUGAAGAUUUCAUUCCUUGGUAUCCUGAUCGCGAUUCUCUGUUGCCCAAAAUACUAAGCUGGUAUCGUCCUUAAUGACUGACCUAUGGAAAUUGUCAAACUAGGUAUAAAAGAUUGCUUUUUGCUAAAUUCUUGAAUUGGAAAAAAUAAAAAUUUGAUUUGAACAAAAUUGAAUUUAAUAAAAUAAACCUUAAAUUAGUUGCAAAAGAAUGAUUGAUUUCUAGUUCAAAUGAGUCAAGAUUGGGGCUUCCACAAUCCAACUUUAGGUAUAGGGCCUCAGGUAAAACAAAUGUAUCAAUUUUAAAUAGUCUUAGGGUAUUCAAAAUGUGGGGUCAAACAAAAUCAACCUGAAUUCCACAACUCAGGGUUGCAUCUGUAUCCUAACUUCUAAUAUUUUAUUCCAUUACUGAACCUAAUAGAUGAAUGAACAUGACAAAUGGGUUUAAGUCUAGGAGUUAUGCCUUUACCACUCUAUGUAGAUUUGUCUUAGGGUAGAUAACAAUAGCAAAACCUCAUAUAACUAGGGAUCAAGAAUGACUAAGAAACCCUAGUAUCAAGGAAUGAGCUAUUGUACCAUCCUCUAAUUCAAACUAAUAUUAGAUGAUAUUUCUAUUUUCAUCUAUUAUGCCUCAACCCUUCAUUCAUUCCAUUCUUAGUUUGAUUUUACCCAUUGUUUUCCCUUGACUCUACUUUAGGUUUUCAUGUUUCACACCCCAAGAUGACUUUUUAGCCUUUCAUGGUGGUGAUUUCAUUCAUACAAUCCAUAAAAGAAGAAUAAAGAACCAUUUUUGAAUAAAAAUAAAUUAGAAAUAAUUAAUUAAAAUAAAGAAAACAAACUGAGAAUCUUCAAUGUCAUAUUCUUUCCCCAAAAAAAUCCAAGAACAUCUAAUAAUUCCCCAACUCCUAAAAAAGAACUCUAAUGCCUUAUAUAUAGAUUAAAAGUUAAGUUGACACAUGUCAAGAUCCUAGAGAGCAUGUAAAAUCUUCUUUCCAAAUCAAAGGCUCUUAAUAAAAGUUGUAAAAAUUUGAGUCAUGAGAGUCUUUAAUGAAAAUAUGUUAAUUUCACAUGAGGAUGAUCCAUUUCGCACGGUCAUGUGAAAUAUAAAUGGAUUGGUAGCAUUCUAACAUCAUUAUGGCGCAUUUGACAUGGUCGUGCGCAAAGUCGCAUGUUCAUGUGAAACUGAUUUCCAAGUUGUUGCAAAAACAAUUUCUCUGGUCCAUUUCGCACGAUCAUGUGAAAUUGACACUCCUUUUAUUUCUCUUUGCGCAGUUCUCUUCAAUCAUCUAUAUCUUCCUCGUUUUAGCUCUGAUUUGCACACUGUUUGAAGCGUUGAAUUCUUUAGCUUUGAAAUGAUAUAUAGCAUGCCCAAAAAUGGCAUUGAGAAGUACUCCAAAUAUCAUCUCAAAGUCAUAAUAUAUGUUGCUACCAAAUUUUGAGUUCCAAUUAGAAUGUAUGAACUUCAAGUUGUAUCCUUCAACCUUCUUUAUCAUGUUUGCUUGCUCUCCAACUCUUUUCACAACCUUCAUUUCUUAUCUCUCAUGCUAUAAAUUGCUUCACUUUCAUUUCCUCAUGCUCCACUUUCAUUUAAAGAAGGGUAAACAACAGAAAAAAAAGAAAACCAAUAUAAAGCAGUCUUGGAGCUUAGAAUCGGUAAAAUACAGAAGGGAGAACAAGUAUUUUCUAAUCAACAGAAAGAAUGUAGGCCAAUUGUGAAGGAUUAGAUUGCUAAAAGAUGUUUCAAUCCAUAACUUCCCUUGAUUAGUAAGGAAAGAGCACGUGCAGUAAAAAACAAAGGCUGCGAGUGCAUUAAAUUGAAGAUGGAAGAACACGUGAUAGGCAACAUGCCCUUUGUGCUAACCCAAAUACACCCACUCUAUCAAGAGACUAUUACCUAACUUACACCAAAAUGAACUAAGACCCAAACCCAUUAUAGAAAUAAAAUUCCUAAUAUGCUUAAAGAAGCUAGACCCAAAAGCAUUGAUUCAAGUCACAAACGUAAACACAAAAAUGCCCUAAACAAAAGCCCAUAAGCAAACAAUACCAAGCAAAAUAUUAGGCCCAUCAUACAUACCCUUCCAAUCUCCCAAGUUCAACUCAUUGUAAUUAGGGAAUGAAUUCGAGAUACAAAGCAUGUACAUAAAGCUAUUUUGAAAUAAAAUUAGAGAAAAGAACUUACCAGAACAAACUCUAAACAUUUCAAACCCAUAUUUGAAUCUUGCAAAGAUCCAAAUUCCCACACAACCAAGUGGCUGAAGGUUGAAUGUUGCUUCGGGUCGCAAUUGCACAUGAGCACUGAGAGCUCCAAAUAAUUAGACAAAUCGCCAACAAUCAACAGUCCAAAUGAAAAUCAGAGCAAAAAACCCUAAAUUAAAGAUAUGGAGAACCCUAUUUUCAUUGUAGAUCCCAUUUUCAACUAAAUUAACCCUAGCUAAAGUGAUCCAAAAUGAAGAACUUGAGGAUCUUGUUUCCUUUGAAUCUGACAAGAUGACUAGAGAAUUUCUUAAACAAAUGUGAAUAUCGCCUUUUGAAAUGGUGUGAAACAUAUUCACCAUCCUUGUUGGAGUCAUCUUUGUAGUAGAACUUGUUAAUCUUUUUUCCCAUUCUACUACUAGAAAGCCUUAACGUCCAUUUUCUCUUUACAUUUUUAGAGAGAGAAACUCUCAUUUUUCACAUUAUCUUCGUCUUGCGACAAGGUUUAUUACUAUUUUUACUAUUCAAUUUUCAACUUUAAAAAUUUGCAAUCAACAAUCUUAAAAUAUUAAAGUUGGGUGCCUUUAUUUCCUUCAUAUUUCAACCUGCUAUUAUUUGAUAAUAAUAAUGAUGAUGAUAAUAAAUCUCAUCAUUUCAAAUUUUAUGUACUCUAAGAACAAAGAUAGAUAAUAUUCAUCUAAGUUGAAGUAAUACUCAUAUGACUAAAGAUAGUAUCUUAAUAUAACUUUAACUUAAAAAUACAUAAAUUUUUAAAUAUUUUGAGUUAAAUAUAUUAAAAUUGGAUUUUAUAAAAUUAAAAAAAUUUAAUAUUUUUUUAUAAAAAUAUGCAACAAAUUUUUUUUUUUCAUUCUUUUUGUCUUAAUAAAUUGGGUUGAAGUUUGAAAAAAUCAUUGGAAAAAUAUUUUUAUUUUUAAGUUCUAAAACAUUAUAUGACAUUUAAAAUAAUGUAUAAAUCUUAAGAUGGUGCCACUUGUGUCUCGUUGCAUAACUCUUGGAGCUCUCUUGAUUUUUUCUACCAAAUAUUUAUUUAGGGAAAAGUGUGUUUCCAUAGGCUUAUACGAAAAAAAAUCUAUAAAAUAAGAAUCCAAAUUUAUAAAAUGCAAAUUUUAAACCGUUAUUUAAAAUUAAUUAGCAUUUCAUGUAAUUUUUUUUAUCAAAUGUACUAUCUUUUGCCAUUUAGGUAUUAUCUUUUAAUGAAAUAUGUAUUACUUUAGUACUACAUUUGAUCAAUGAAGGCAUGAAAAUCUGAAUUAUCUUUAAAGGUUAUUUUUAUACAAAUGUGGAAAUUCAAUUUUUUUUAAUUUGUCUUCCAAAGUUUUAUUUUAAAACCUAUUUGUAUUCUAAUUUUUAAUAACUUUCCAAUCAUUUAUUACUAAUUAAUAUUUGGCCGCUGGCAAACAAAAUCAAUAAAUUUUAUUAUAUUAGUAGCACGAUAGCAACGUGGCAGGGAGUUACGUGGAUGAGGUGUCGACAAAAAAGGCCAAAAAAAAAGAAAAUUCCAUUGAUAGAAAGUGAGAAUUUGAAAAUUAGAAGUCGGUUUUUGAUAAAGUCUCUGGCUGAGGCACAAUGUUUGGUUAGGUGUUCAUCGACCUCGUUUCUAUUAGUGUUCUUUCAAUCAUUUCUUGUAUUUUGUGGAUUUUUUGGCUUGCAUUUUACGUGGUUCUUUUAAUGGUUUUGUAUGUUCUUGGAAUGUGGGAGAAGAUGAAGGGUUUGGGGGUGUUGAAUUGGAUUCUGGGAGCGAUUUUUUUGCUGUGGUUAUGCGUAGGAAUGGAAUAAUUUUUUGUGGGUCGUUUGGAUGGCAGGAAAAAGGAGGAAAAUGGGAGAAAAGUUGGAAUCUUGUAAUAUUUUCAAUAGUGAUUAUGAGUUAUUCAAUUGAAUUAAAGUCAGCCCAGUGAAAAAUUAUUUGGGAAUGAAAUCCCAACUGCCAUAAAACAGGGGAAGAAAAGAACUUAAAAGAGAAAAACGGGUUUAUUGGGUGGUGCCAUAGGUGGGUCGGUGCUCAUAGUGACAUAUGCUGCAGAAGCUGGUGGUGGUUCAUGGUGGUGUCAACUGCACUGGUGGUCAUGCUGGUUAAAAUGGGGGGUGGCAAUGGGGUUUGAAAGAAAUGGAAUCCACAAUAACUGAAAUUUUUGUAGAAUUUUUUUCUUUCUGUCUGAUUCUUAAAUGCAAAAUGCUUUGGGGAAACAUCUGUUUAAGCAAUUUCCUUUCAUUUCCUCCAUACUUUCCAGGAAUCAAAUAGAGCUGCAAUGCCUUCUUUGGGUGAUAAUAACGCUGUCGGGUAGCUAAAUAAUAAUUUUCUCUGUCAACCUGUGUGUAGGAUACAGCUUAAUUUUGUUAAGUGGAGCCCAAAUUCUGUUUUCAGUUACCAAACAGAAGGAAACUGUUUUAAUAUUGUUCUCUGAUUCUCAGAUGCUGUCUGAUAUUUAUCAUGGAGUUUACUUGUUUUGAGAAGGUGUUCCAUAGUACUUGAUUAUUUAACAUUUUUUACUUGGUCUUACUCGUGCUUUUCUCAUCUUUUAUUUACAUCAUACUGAUUCUUUCAGAAAGAUGGUUGCAUUCGGGAAAAAGUUGAAAGCGAAUCAAAUUCAAGAAUGGCAAGGGUAAGUAUCUGAAUGCUCCUUGCUACAGGUUAUGCUUGACAUCCUUCGUCUAUAUUAGAUAUAGUCUACUGUGUUGCUGAGUUUUCUUUCAGUUUCAAUCUUAAUGAAGUCAGUUAUUACUCAUUUUCUAUCAUAUUCAUAAAAUGUUACUCUUUAUGCCAACUAUGAUUGUAUAUUUACUUUUUAAGGUACUAUCAAUUAAUUGUGUCAAGUAUGCUUGUAAUUUGAUUCCUUCCAGGCACUACAUUAACUAUAAGUUAAUGAAGAAGAAAGUAAACAGAUAUGCUCAGCAAAUUGAGGUGGGAGCGCAAAACCGCCUUUAUGUUCUUAUGGAUUUUGCAAAAUUGCUGGAUAGUCAGGUAAUUAAAAAAUGUAUGAAACCAUCAACAUUUACUUGAGUAAUGCAAAAUGAGUCCUAAAAUAUGAUUGGAAAAGUGCAGGCUCACAUACAGUAUGUAGAUAUUCUAAUUCAUGCAGUCAUUUGGGUUUAUCUUUUACUGAGAUAUUGUCAACAUUUUGUUUCACUUUUUGUAAGUUUCUAGUGUAACUUCGUUCUGAACUUUGAUAUGCCAAGUAAGUGGAAGAAUUCUAGGGAAGUUUCACACCAACAAUAUGGUGUAUAAGCAAGAUUUGAACUACGGUUUUAUUCUGAACUUUGGUUACCUAAGGUAAGAUAAUUUGAAGAAGGUUUUAGGAAGUCUGCAUGUUCAGAAUUACAUGAUUUCAAGCUAAACUCUUGGAGGAGAAAGAAUGGAAGUGCUGAGUUAAUGUGAGAGAUGUACCAAAUAGCAAACUGUAUAUCUCAUUUUAUUCAUAUUUGUGUUGGGCAAAGAGAUAUGUUAUAUUUGAUUCAAUUUGAUCUAUAUUUAAUUGAUAUUUUGAAUUUGUUUAGAAUCUUUUUAAAAAGAAACUAUCAAUUGUUUCCCUUAAAGAGUAUUUACUGAGCUGCAUAUCAUCUUAGCAGUGCAUUAAGCCUACUAUAUAGGCUUAAUACUGGAAUUCUGUUUCUCCAUUCUGAUAUAUAAAAGGUCAUGUAUUAUGAGGCAUGGAAAUGAAUUUUGUCAUACUCCUACCCACCAUCUUUGGGCAUGGUCUCCCCCUUGAAAGCUUCACCACAUCUUUUGAUUUCUUUCAUAUGCCUAGACUGUGUUAAUUGGAUCUCCUCUUUUGUACCACCAAAUGGGGCCGCUAAUUAACUCUGACAAGUUGUCUCAUUUGUAAUGUCCCUCUUAGUCAUUGAUUGUUUUACCUUGUGGUGAUUGAUUUACCCAUAAUUCUGAUCUGUAAAGCUUAUUGCUUGUUUCAUUUUUCCUUUAGUUUGAUUGGAAUGUGAUACAUUUGUCAGAUAACAAUUCAGAAGCAUAUCUUUAUUUUAGCUUUUCCAUCUACUCCUGAGGGGAAAACUCUUGUUAAUUUUCUGGCCCUAUUUAUUAAUCCAACGCCUAUAUGGCCAAAAAGGUUUUCAAACCCUUACCAGGGGUGUAUAUCAUGGCUAAGAAAAUUGAAGCAUUAUCCAUAUAAACAUGAAGAUGCAUGUUACUUUUGAUGUUUAUAUGUUUGAAAUUUAUGGUUCUUACUGAUUGAGAAAAACCAUAUUUUUUUGUUGGGGAACAGGAUCCUUAACAGUAUAAUAUGCUUAAACUUUGUUUCUUCUCAGAUAAUGUAAUUGUUGCAAUGAUUUAUUUAAGAAGGAUUGCAUAUGAAUAUUUCCUUUUGGUUGUUUUAAUAUUUCAGAUUGAAAAGAUUGUUUUGUUUCUGUUGGAACAACAAGGGAUACUCGCAAGCAGAUUAUCCAAUCUCAGAGAACAGCAUGAUGCUCUUUCACAACAGCCAGAUGGAUUAAAAGUAUCUGAAGUAAAAGAAGCAUAUAGAGCAGUGGGGAGGGAUCUUUUACAGCUUCUCUUUUUUGUGGAAAUGAAUGCUAUUGGUCUGCGUAAGAUAUUGAAAAAGUUUGAUAAGCGCUUUGGCUACAAGUUUACAAAUUACUAUGUUAAAACUCGUGCAAAUCAUCCUUACUCCUUGCUGCAACAAGUGUUCAAGCAUGUGGUAAUAUGCCCAAUGAGAUUUCAAUGUUUCUUUUUUAUCUUAAUAAUUUUCAGAAAAAUAUUACAAUGUGAUCGAUUUCAUGGAGUUAUUGUCUGUAAUCUCAUCUUACCUUCCUAGAUAUACCUUUGAGUUGUUUGGUACAAAUAUGGUAAUAACUCUGUCCAGCAUGAAUUAGCUUCCAUUGUCUCUAUCUGUGGAUGAAAGCAUUAUCUUCUGGUAACUGGAUUGAACUUGCAGGGUAUUGGGGCUGUAGUAGGAGCCAUAUCACGCAAUCUUGCAGAUCUUCAGGACCAUCAGGGGAGCUACAUAUCAAUUUAUGAUCAACCUGCUUCUUCACUUACGGUUUUCUCUCCCUUCCAUCUAAAUUUAUAAAAAUUAUUUUAAAUAGUUUUGUUUCUUUUUUUGCCAUAUCAUUGUUUGUCUCUGGAGAGUCUAGAAAAUUUACAUUGGUAUUUGAAGUAACACCAAAGGAACACAAAUCUUUUUCUUUGGACAGCAGCACAGACCUAUGAAGCAUGCAACGCAUACAACUAUUCUACAUAUGAUGGCGACUAUAUAUACUUUUUACUUUAUAUUAACGUUUUGACCAUAAUCAGUUUUGACUGAAAACUAAGUUUAAUAUCUAUGUUCAAGCAAGACUUCUAUUACUGAAAGAAUCCCCUCUGAAUAAUCCUUCUUAGUGAGAUGAUGCUAUAUUAGUGCAUUGGUAAGGCUAUGUUUUUUUUUUUAAUUGAAAAAGGGCUGUACUUCUCUGUAUGAAAAGAUAGUGUAACGUUUAUUAACCAAUCCACAUGUUCUAAACCUAAACCCCAAAAGAAAAUGAAUCUGAUUUAUUGGAUCUUAAAAGCUAAACAAAAUAAAAAAGAAUCGAGAACUAUGUUGUUAACCUUGGAAAAUCACGCAGAUUCUAAUCUAUUGGACUUCUAAAUUAUGUAGCAUAUUCAGAAAUGUUAAAAGUAAUAUGAAAGCACAGAAUUAAAACAUAAAACAAAUUUAACGCAAGUAUUAGUUUUCCACAUGUAGAAUGUGACUUUUUAUAUUUUAGGUAUUAAUCAUGCAUGCUGGAUGUCAAAAUGUCAAAAGCAUCAUAAUGCUGGCAUUUGUUUGAUUCAGAAUCAUUGAGAUGUAAUUCAAUCUCAUUAAAUUUAUAGGCAAAAUAUUUAUAUUUCUAUGGGUUAAAUCCGAGUUAUCGCGAAAUAAAAGAAAAAAAAAUGAAAUGAUGGUGUUACAGGAGAAACAUUUUCACGUUUGCUGUCUGUUAUGGCUCCUAAUGAGUUUUUGUUUUUACUUAUUCUCUAGUUGUCUUGUUUACUGCAAGUAAUCUCUCAUGACUGUAUUAUUUAUAAUAGAUGAGCAAUCAUAUUAUCACCAACUAUUUUCGUAGUUUCAAAUUUCCUAAAUUUUUCCUUGAUACCGAAAGACAGACCUUUCAGUGACUGAGCAUUAUAUGUAAAGUUCUAGCAAAAACAAUUUUAAAGAACUUCACAGGAUAUGAUUGUAUGCAACUUUCUUCUGACUGAGACUUUACUGUGUAUAUUGACUUAUGCCAUUUAAUGGUAUUAUUUGCAGGAUCCUGUCAUUGAUUCUAUUAAUGCUGCUGUAGACAGGUUAACAAACUCAACGAAUUUCCUUCACUUUUUGGGAAAACAUGCGCUUAUUAUGCAAGAGGAGUUGCCGACUCCAUCUGAGGAUCAUGCUGUUGACCAGAGAUAUCAUUUUAUGUCUCUUCUCUUGAACUUGGCAAACACAUUUCUGUAUAUGGUCAACACAUAUAUUAUUGUCCCAACAGCAGAUAACUACUCUCUGAGCCUUGGAGCUGCAGCAACUGUUUGUGGUGUUGUGAUUGGGGCGAUGGCUGUUGCACAAGUGUUCUCUUCAGUAUAUUUUAGUGCAUGGUCAAAUAAAUCGUACAUGAGACCUCUAUUAUUUAGCAGUAUUGUUCUUCUUGUUGGAAAUGUCUUAUACGCACUAGCUUAUGAUCUUGACUCGAUAUCGGUUCUCAUUAUUGGUCGUCUAUUCUGUGGGUAAGCAAAUUCAUUAUUAACUCCAUUACUUAAGAUUGGAAACUUACAUUCUAUUUGUUGGUUAGCUGUGGGAUGCAUGAGCCCAGAUUCUCAUCUCUAAAGUAGAAAAAAAAUGUUAACAUCAAUAAGAAAAGCAUGACAAUAAGCAAUGGGCAUAACUUGAUGCAAGAACAACAUGUUAUGGUUCGGUUGUGGAUUUGGUUCUGAUUAAAUUUCUUUCUGUCUGGUUCAGUUCUGGUUCUGUUAAAAAAUACUAGCAAUCUAAUGUAACUUCUCUUCAAAUAAAUAAGUAUUUUGAGUGGAUAUUUAAGUAGUAGUAGGAUAAAAGAGUUGCAUGAGUUCAAAACACCUUGUUUAUAUUUGAAUGGCUUAAAUAUUUUAUUUUAAAGGCUGCUUUUGGUCUUAUCAUGUGUUCUUUUUGCCAACAUAAAUUUGUUGUUCUCAUUGGAGUGCAUAUUGGUGAUUAUUCACAUGUUUAAGGUUUCAAGUAAAAGAUUCUUAUAUGGAUUAAAAGUAGAACUUGUUCAUAGAGGUAUACAUCAUUCUGCUUGGUCUUGGAAAAAUGGAUCUAUCUCAUGGAUUUAUUACAUAACUUGAUGAAGCAAUGUUUAUCAAUAUGUCAGGUUAGGUUCUGCAAGAGCUGUCAACAGGCGCUAUAUCAGUGAUUGUGUUCCGCUUAAACUACGAAUGCAGGCUUCUGCAGGUUUUGUUAGUGCAAGUGCACUUGGAAUGGCAUGUGGUCCUGCUCUUGCAUGCUUAUUUCAAACCAAUUUUAAGAUUUACAAAAUCACAUUCAACGACAACACACUACCUGGUUGGUUUAUGGUGCUGGCAUGGCUUGUCUAUUUAUUGUGGUUGUGGAUUUCUUUCAGAGAGCCUUUUCAUGAGGCUAAGGAGAAUAUUGCACCCCUGGAAGUUAAUGCUGGUAUGUAGACCAGAUUGCUUUCUUUAGCUACAUCACUAGCCAGGAUAAACUCUUCACACAACGUUUAUCCUGGAUACUGACCAUCUGUGAUUAUUAGUAAAACUUCUUUAGGCUUCCAGUUUGAUCUAAGUUACUCUUCAAAGUCAGCCUUGCCACAUUUACUUGGAGCACAAGUUCCAUGUAUGAAAUCUACCCUAGGUUGUAGCUCUUCACUGUCAAUUUUUUUGUUGCAUAUGCAAAGAUAAUAUAUUUAUUAAUCACAUUUCUGUUUAUUUCCUUUUGGGCUUCAUCUUAUGCAUGGCAUUCUUUUGUGAAGCUAUAGACACCUGAGUAAUCUAGAACUAUCUUCCUGAAUAAUUAAUGGUUCCUGUCUGAACAAUGUCACAUAAAACAGUGAUCAGAUUCCUACAGGAGGCAUAGAUAAUCUUUCAGCUCCUUUUUCAAGAUCUAUGUUACAAUUAUUGUCUCAUGUUGAGUUAUGGAAAAACCCUAAUCAGAUUGCCCCAACUUCACUUUUGUUUUAAUGGUAUUAGAAGGUAAGUGGCUUUAUAGGGGGAAUUUUGAGUUGAAUGCUGCAGUUUCACUCAUCCUUCAUCCAUGUUAUGCUCUGUAUAGUUCUCUGUUUUGUGCUCCAAUAUCUGUGGGUAUUAAGCUACUAGUCCAAUAUUUUCCUGUUCUUUUUUCAAUGAAAAGCCCCGCUAGCCUACUUCUAUUGCACAAAGCAUGAAACUUAGUGAUAAAUAAUAUCAUUCAAAAAUGUUUUGCUCUAAUAAAAUUUUCUUUGUGUUCAACAGCGUACCCUGUUUUCUCGGUAAUCCCCAUUUCUUCCCUCCCACACACAGUCACUGUCUUCUUAUCCAGUUAUGUUGUCAGAUAAAUUUAAGAAUCUGUUUCAUUCAAUAUCUCUAUGAAUAAACUUGGAUUUACUUAGUAUAUCAGAAUCCUUGAGAUAUUUCAUGAAAUCUCUUGCUUGUCUUACAUCACAUGCAUGCUUGUGUCUAAUUUAUAUCAUUUGAACCUCCAAAAACUUUGCCCCUUGGCACCUUGCCCACAUCAGAAAAUGAAAUGGUUUCAAAAUUAGAUGAAAUUGUUUGCAAUUAAAUAAAUUCAUGCUUGACUUUAGAGAGUCUAAAAACCAUUAUACCGGAGUCUUUUGGCUGGGGCAGGACAUUAGUCCCUUGUGGAAACUCCAUUUUCUCACUUCUAUUUGCAAAAUUUUACUAUUUCAUAAAUUCAAAACUUGAAUAUCCUGGCCCAUGUUAAUAGGCAUGAGCUUUAAUUACAAUUUGGAUCUUUUUUGUGACAGCCUUAUUAGUAAAUGAGGCUGUGGAGAGUGGCUCGACACAACCAUUGCUGUUGAACUCAAAAGCUAAAGAGGAAGAUGAAGACCAAGAAUGCGAUGGUGCUGAAGAAGAUUCUAAUGACAUUCAAAAACCUGUCACUUCUCUUGUAUUGGCAUAUAGAUUACUUACACCAUCUGUAAAGGUAUGGAUCAAUUCUAAAUUUUAUCUAAACCUAUUUCAGUUUAUGUGCUACUGGAUUUCAGUUUACCUAUCAAACAAAAAAAAAAAAAAAGUGCUACUGGAUUCAUGCCACCCCUAUCAUCAUUAUCUUGGCAAACCUGAGACAUAUAUGGUGAGGGAACAAUGUUUGAAACUUGACGAAGUCUCUGUUCUCUUUCAUUCUAUAUUUCUAUAUAGCUUUAUAGAAUUCAAUUAGCUGUUUGAUUAGGGAUAGAUCACCAUUUAAAUAUAAGUAGUGUCCUGAGAGCACUCAGUUUCUUAUGUGGAGGUAGAUGUGCUUCUUCCGAUUCUUUUGUCCUAAAAAUUCUCCAUGCCAAAAGAUUAUUAUUAUACCUUCUUGUAUAUUUCUCCUCUGAAUUAAAAUAAAGCACCUUCUACACAAUGUUUUAACUAUAGUCAAUGGUAUUUCUUCUCAGGUUCAAUUAUAUAUUUAUUUUAUGCUCAAAUAUGCUAUGGAGGUUCUGCUUGCUGGAUCAAGUGUCAUCACCACAUACUACUUUGUUUGGUCAACCAGACAUGUGGCAAUUUUUCUUGCAUGUCUUGGGCUAACAGUGCUCCCAGUAAACAUGGUUGUUGGGAGCUACAUCAGCAACAUGUUUGAAGAAAGGUAAACCUUCAGACAUCAGGGAAACUCAACAUGUUGUUUGUCUUUUUUUAGUCAGUGACAAGAAAAUUCUUAUGCAAAAGGCUUGGUUGAUUUAUGUCACAAUAGAUAAAUGGGUGUUAGAUCAUUUCUCCAUGUUUUUAUUAAUAUUUUGCAAUAAUUACUAAAAGGCUUUUCAAAAUGUUUUACUAUGCUUCAAAACAUUCACUGAAAAUGAAAGGAUAACGAGUGUUUCAUAUUUCACAUGUUCACAUUGAGAUUGACAUGGGUAAAGAGCAAUUGCCAUUGGGAAAAAUGUUAAUUCUCAUCAUUCUCAGAUAAGAUCACAAGAGUAAAGUCAGUUGUUGAAACCGGGAUUAUUUAGUUACUUCAGGGAGUUUUCUCCUGGUUGAAUUCUGUCAAAUGGCACCUAUUUCAUAUAUAUGGUUCAGACUCAUUCUCCAUUUUUUCCCGGCUAAUGCAUAAUUGGGGGUGAUUUGCAGGCAAGUUUUACUGGCAUCUGAAAUUAUGGUAUGCAUAGGAACACUCCUAAGCUUCAAUGUAGUUAUCCCUUACUCGGUGCUGCAGUAUGUUGGCUCAGGACUCAUCACAUUCGUGUCUGCUGAAGUUCUUGAGGGUAAUGUAUCAUUACUUAUGAUCCAAACAUUGAAUACUUGUGCAGAUCUCCAAUCUCCUGAUGAGCUACUGGUUCAUAUUUUUGUUCACAUCAUUAGAACUCAGAACCAAAUUUUGCUAAUCAGAUGCUUUCUCUGCCUCCUGAACAAUUUUGCUUGAUCAAUGCAGGUGUGAACCUAUCACUCCUAUCAAGGGUCAUGUCUUCAAGGCUUUCUCAAGGAACCUACAAUGGUGGACUGCUUUCAACAGAGGCUGGAACCUUGGCUCGAGUAGUUGCAGAUGGAACAAUAACCCUUGCUGGGUACUUGGGUGAGGGUAUGGUCUUGAAUGUCACCUUACUGACUUCACUCUUCAUCUGUAUCUCUUCCAUUGUCGCCACCUGCUUCACCUACAACACACUCUACUGAUGCUUUGCUAUCGGUAUUCCUCCCUUCAUGUAUCAUCCUGUAUAGUAUAGAACCAAUUAGCUAGCUCUCUGAUCAAUACCCAGUACCCACAACAUACUGUAAUGUAAUUUUCCAGCCAAUGAUUUUAUAUCAAUAAAUUCCACUUAGUGUUGCAAUCUGAUUUUCCAUCUUCCCAAAGGGGAGUUUUGCCACCUUCAAUUGUAUAAGCAGUUCAAGGCCAUGCUUAGGUUAUGAAGGGCCAUGAUUGUCACCAUCACUCAUCCUUCUAUCUUAGCAUUAUGCAGAUCAUGCGAAAUUUGUAUGAUUUUUGAAUGAAACAUUUUUCCUUGAAAGCAUGAGGUGGGAGUGUUGAAUGAAUUGAUUAAACAACAAUUGACGUUGAGGAAGGCUUAGGCUUGGGCUUGACUUUAGAAUUGCUUGAGGUAUGGGUCAUGUUUGAGCUUUAUGCUUUCAAGCAUAUUUUAUAAUUAUUAAUGAAGUGGAUUGCUUUACUUGGCAUCUACGCUUCGAACAAAUGAGAGAAACCCGAAAAUUAAAAGCGUAUAUUAAAAUAUUUAUGUGGAGGAUUUUAGUUGUCAAUUGAUAUUGAUGACAUGAUAAAUAAAUAAAUAAAUAAAAUAAUUUUAGAGAAUAAUUAUAAAACUCAUUAAAAAAUAAAUAUAUUUUAAAUUAUUUUAAAAUAAAUAAAUAUAAUAUUGAUUUAAAAAAAUUAAUUAAUUUUUUUUUAUAUAUCUUUAUAUUAGUGAGUUAGAACUCAAUUUUCUCUUCAUUUAAGUCAAAUGAAUAUCCAUGCUGAUGUGGCACGGACACGACUUAUGAACACGUGUUACUGUGUCAGAUUUUUGACAAUCCGUUCCCACGCCCUUCCCGUACGCCUAGUAGCGCACGUUAGCGCAAACCCUCGAACAUUCGGCGUCGGAAAAGUAUCAAAUCAAAUCUUAUGCCCUGUUUGGCAACUCUCAAAAAGAGAAAUCCGGCUUUUAGUUUACAAAUUGGGAGACGGAAUUCAUAGUUCUUUCAGAUUCUUGUUUUUUUUCUCUCUCUAGAUUUGUGGGUUAGAGAGACAAGCUCCGUUUGUUAAUGGCUUCAGAUCAAGAGUUGUCAGGAACUGUGCAGAACAUACUGGACCAAGAGAGUCUGAAGUGGGUCUUUGUUGGUGGUAAAGGCGGCGUUGGCAAGACUACGUGUAGUUCGAUUCUGUCGAUCCUUCUCUCUAGGGUUAGAUCCUCUGUUUUGAUAAUCUCCACUGACCCCGCUCACAAUCUCAGCGAUGCGUUUCAGCAGCGUUUCACCAAGGCACCCACUUUGGUUAAUGGGUUCUCCAAUCUCUAUGCAAUGGUACUGUUUUCAAUUCCCAAUUUAAUGGUUUUUGGUUUGGUGGGUUUUGUGUUUUCAUGACUUUUGAAGUUUUUGAUGUGAUAUUUGUGGUGGAUUUAGUUGUUUCUAUUGAAAUUUGCGGUUUAUCGGGGUGAAUUUGAGGAAAAGCUAGUUCAUAGUUUUCUUGUUUCGUUUGGUUUUUUGGGGAUGAAUUAGUGCAUUAUUUGAGGUAUUGUGUUUUAAUGAAUUUGGACUUUUUCUGACGUGGGUUUAGUUGUUGCUGUUGAAAAUUUGGGUUUUAUUGUUUGGUGAAUUUGGGGAAGACGUUUGUCAUGGUUUUCUCGUUUUGUUUGGUUUUUGGGGAUUACUAGUUCUUUGAUUUGAGAGUUCCAUACCCUUCAGAUGGUUUGUGUGAAAAGUGUGUCAGAUCCUGAGUGUGUGCUACAUAUUAUCUGGGUUUUCCUUUUUCAUCUAGAGAAACAAUUUAUACAGGAAUUAUCUGUGUUUUAAUAUUUUUGUUUCUAGUUCUUUUAAGUUUUGGAGAAGGUGUCGUAUCCAAAUGAUUCUCAAUGGCAUUGUGGUCUAUUGUUUACAUUCAUUGCUCCCAAGUUGUUGCCUUGAUUGCUUUGUGCACAUAUUGAUUGUUAUAUAGCUUAUACUAAUAGUAUGUUUCCUUUUAGGAAGUGGAUCCCAGUGUAGAGAACGAAGAAUUACCUGGUGAUGGAAUGGAUAAUCUUUUCUCUGAGCUGGCAAAUGCAAUUCCCGGAAUUGAUGAGGCAAUGAGCUUUGCAGAAAUGUUGAAGUAAGUGACAUGAUCCCUGAUCAGAUUGUAUCCAAUGGGGCAAAUAUUUGUUAUUUGUUUAUGUUUUAAGUUGUUUAAACCUAUAAAAAACAAUUUUGAGUGUUUUUGGCUAACUUCAGCAUCCUUGUGGAUCACAUUUUUUUACUUGGGAUAAGUGAGCACAUUGGGAGUACUCUGAAGUUUACUCUUAUUUGCACUUGCAGUUAAAUAAAAGAUGAUCUAUUUGCAAUAAUAAUAUGAAAAAUAGGCUUUAUGCAGACUUAGGUUUGAAAAAUUAUCUUUUUGCAUUGGUUAUUGUUGAGGAUUUCUAUUAAUUGAGUUACAUGCGGACAUGUAUAACAAAGACAUAUCUGGCAUAUCGUUAAUUAUUUUAUCCAAAAGGUGGCAUAAAUGUAAAAGAUGUAACUUUGAAGCGUUGUUAUAUGAUAUGAAAAGUUUUAAUAUAAGUUGGACCAGAGUACUAGCAAAUGCAACUUGCUUCUGUUGUAAGACCAGAAGUUGAAAGUUAAAAUCUUCCUUCCUGUAGCCUAUCACACACACACACGCACAAAACCUGGGCUUUACAAAUCCAAAAAGGGUAUGACUGUAAAUUGCCUUAGAAUGAGAAAUUCAUCAAGAAACACUAUUUGAACCUAAAACAUCAUCAAAUGAAAGAACCAAAGAUAAGACAGCAUGAGAUAUAUCCACAAAGGGUUCAAAAAAUAGGGAAGGUAUGCCUCUUGCUUGCCUUGUGGCCUCUUUUAUAUACUCCAUGUGUACUCUGUUGCACCAUUUUGCAAGUGCUUUUAAUAUAUUCUCCUUAUUUACCUAUCAAAAAAAAGGGGGGGAAGGUACAAACCCAGAAGAAGCCACUUGAAAGAAAAUAGGAUGGGUAUGGAAGAGGGGCCCAAAAAAGACCUGGGAGAGAAGCCUUUAAUAACUAUUGUUGAUAUCGUGUAUCAUUUCUCUCCCAUGUAGUUUUAGUUAUAAAAAAGUUGCCAAAUUUGACACUUUUUGAGGCUUUAUUUCGGAUUAAGUUUUUCCUAGUUGGAAUUAGGUGGGAUUUGGGUCAUGAACAUGCAAUUAAAUUUUAUAUCAUCUUUACUCUUAUACUGUGGAGUUGAUACAUCAAGAUGAAUUGAUUAUCAUGCAUUAUUUGUGAGGUGUAGGCCUCUUUUCUGCGGUGGUCUCUGCUCUGCCACCUAUAAGUUCCCAAAAUUUUACUAAUACUUUCAUUCAUUAAAUCUCAUAACACUUGGUAACAGAAUCUGCCUCAAGAUAAGGUAAGUUACUCCUUAUUAGUGUGCCUGUAUUGGUGCAUCCCUUGACGUAUCUGAUUUUUAUACUGGGCUUUGUUCAAUUUUGUUAGCAUUUAAACACUUACAAAAUCAAGUACUGGCCAUGCACAUGUACUUUUACUUUCUCUUAUUGAAUGAUGAGACAUGAUUCUUAUGUGAUAAAAUUCUAUUGCACUUGCCAUUUAUGAGUAUAACUUUUUCUGUACUAACUUCUUCUUGCAGGUUGGUUCAAACAAUGGAUUACUCUGUGAUAGUAUUUGAUACAGCUCCUACUGGUCAUACACUUCGGUUAUUGCAAUUUCCAUCAACAUUAGAGAAGGGGCUUGCUAAAAUGAUGUCCUUAAAAAAUAAAUUUGGUGGUUUAUUGAAUCAGGUACACCAUAAGAAUCUUCCAAUUUUAGUAUCUCCCAGGUUUAAGGAAUUAUCUGCUCUGAUGUGGUCAAGCCUAGUUAUUAUAUGGAAUGGUGCAUUAAUGAUUGAACAUUGAUCAAUUCGUCAUGUGUCCAAUCCUGAGGGAAGUGAGUUGCCCAGGUUGAUUCUAUGACAUUUUCUCAAUAGCCUUCCCAUAUCAUAUAAGGUUGAGUCUGCCUUUAACUAUCAUGUUAACCAAUUAGACAGCAAUUAUGGAUGAAUAUCUGGAAGAGCUUUGCUUAUGUCGUGAUAAAAAAUAAAAAAAAUUCAUAAUGAGAAAAUUCAUAAUGAGUCUAGUAUUGGAUUUGUUGCUUCUUGAAGAAAAAUUCACUACUUUUGAAUGUAAAUGUGAUCAACUGCAUGGUCUCCCAUUCCUGUUUCUCAAGGGUUUCAUGUUAAGCCUACUAUUUAUUCUUCCUUGAUUGCAGGCAUGAAUGCAGUGUGUUGUUUAUGUUUUGGUGCUUUACAUUCUCAAGUAUGAAGCAAGAAGCUUAUUGGCAUCUUGGGUUUUGCUGGAACAAAUUAAAGAGCCUUUUUUUUUUUGGGUCUUUAUAUAGAGUAAUUCUCAAUAGACUGAAGUUUGGAACCUUUGGAAAAAAACAAGGAAGAAGUUUUAAGCACAGUAGAACGUGAUAGGAGCAUUGCUAGACUUACAGAUCUAGUAAUCUGCAUUUGUCCUUGCCUUAUGAAAUCCAACAAUGCAAUAAUUAUGAAAGAAACAUUAAAGUUGAACAAAUGAAUAUUCCUCUACUUGGUUUUUAGCAUGUUUUAUUUUGAUAGAUGGUAACUCUUAGUCAGUAUUCUCAACUUUUAUGGUUUUAAUAUUUUAGUGCAUGACAAAUUUCGUAUGUAUAUGAAGUUGGUUUCAUGUAUUGGAUUCUUCAGUUGUAAAUUUUUGACCAUUGAAUAAUUUGAUUCAAGUCAUCAGAAUCUUCUGUAUUAACUGUUGCCAAUGUCCCUUCUCCUUCGAUAGUACUGGUAUGUUACUUAUCAGUUUUUUAAACUGUUCAUGGCAGAUGACCCGUCUCUUUGGUGUGGACGAUGAAUUUGGUGAGGAUGCACUUCUGGGUAGGCUUGAGGGCAUGAAAGAUGUGAUUGAACAAGUGAAUAAGCAAUUCAAGGACCCAGUAAGAUCUCCCAUCCUAAAAUAUUUUCCGUGGCUAGACGCUAAAUCACUUCUGUAGCACAAAUCCACACUGAAGUUAUUCAUGUAGAAUUGGACCAUUCACCAACACCUUAAGGAUUUUUAAGACUUCCUGGGUGUGCCUGUGAACCAAAAAAAAAAAAAAAAGGUAAAGAAAGAAAGAAAGAAAGAAAGAAAGAAAAAACCACAGGUGAUUAUAAUUGAUAGAAGAAUCUUAAUAUUGUAAUUUUAUUCACCUGUCUUGUUGGUUAAGUAAUAUUUUUCUCAAUGCUAAUCUCAGCAGUGAUUAAUUAACUUAACCUUAAUUCUCAUUCCUCCUCUUUGAAGAAAAAAAGGAAAAUACGAUUCCAAUAAUUUUUGAAAUGCAACAUCUAUGAGCUGUGCAAAUAUAAAUUUUGUAAUACAAACUUUGAUGGAAAAAGGAAAUGUAUUUAAUAAUAGGAAUCAGAAAAUUUGCUGUUUAAGUCAGAACUCCAUAAUAGCUUCCCUACUGUUUCUCUGCCAAAGAACUGUUCAGCACAAGUAUGAUUUUUGCUUCCCCUAGGUAAUAACUCUUAUGUUUUGGUGUUUAAAGAUGGAGAAACAUUGCUGCUGCUUUUGUGGACAUCCGUUUGACAGUGCUACCCUUUGGCUUUCUCUAUCAAAACCUGGCUUAGUUCGAUAUACAUCUAUAAAACUUAUUUGAUAUUCAAGGCUAUCAUUCUUUGAAAUUCCUCAAAUCUCAUAUGAGGCAGCUAAACUUUGAUAAAGCACAGCAGUCAGCAUUUAGUUUCCCCAUCGAAGUUUUUGGGGCCAUGUAUGCAUGGAAGAUCACUUUCAGGUCUUCCUUGUUCUCUAUAUUGAUGCAGUCAUUAAUGCACUUGUGUUUCCCUUUUAACAGGACUUAACAACUUUUGUUUGUGUUUGCAUUCCGGAGUUCCUUUCUCUCUAUGAAACAGAGAGACUGGUGCAGGAACUGAAUAAAUUUGAGAUAGAUUCGCACAAUGUUAUCAUUAACCAAGUGCUUUAUGAUGAAGAAGGUGCAUUUACCACUUCCUUCACAUUUUUAUUCUCUUUUUCCCUGUCUGAAUGUGCUUGCUUGAAACAAGAGCUAACUAUUGCUUGGUCUUCUUUGUUAUUGUAGUUGUUGAAUCAAAGUUGCUUAAAGCAAGAAUGCGGAUGCAACAAAAGUACCUUGAUCAGUUCUACAUGCUGUAUGAUGAUUUUCACAUUACCAAGCUUCCUUUGCUACCAGAAGAGGUAGACUAGGCAUUGCUAAGAAUGCAGAAUUCUUUCACACACACACACACACACAUAUAUAUAUAUAUAUAUAUCUCAAGUUAUAUGUAUAAUUCAACUGGUUUGGGAAUUUUCACUAGUUUGCACGUAUUUGCAGAGUUUCCAAAUAAUUCCAGAGUGAGCCAACACAUUUAGUUUUUCCUAAUACAUACCAAUGAUUUUCUGCACUAAUUCAUUCUUGAAGUUAUAGUUUUUAUUUCUUUUAUUUUCUUUUUUUUGUUUUUGUUUUGUUUUCCCUUACAAAUGUUUCUACAAUUAUUAUUGGACUUUGCUUUUACCCUGACUUCCUUCUUUUUCUACAUGAUUCAUUCCUACAAUUUUUUGGAGUACAAACUGGUUCUAGGCCCAAACUUACUGUUGCCUGUAAAUGGUUAUUUUUCAGUUUGUUAUCAGCCCUUCAACUAAGUAAAUGUGCAUUUUUAGGUUUGUGGGGUUGAAGCUCUGAAAGCAUUUUCACAUAAUUUCAUAACACCCUAUCAGCCUGUCAUCGAGAAAGGCACAAUGGAAGAGCUGGAGGCAAGAGUGUCAAUGCUAAAGCAACAGUUGACAGAUGCUGAGGCAGAGCUUGAGAGACUGAGAAAAGGAAAACAAAAGGUCUGAUUAUACUUUAGUAACCAGUAUCAUCACUUGUUUCCCUUUUUUUUUUCUUUGAAUUUUUUAUUUCUCAUUUUUGCCAUGUUCACAAACGAUGGGCAUUCUCCCCUUUUCACUGGGCUGCCAAAAGAGGUCAUUUAUUUCUAAGCUGGAUUUGUGGUUCGAGUAGGCAUAAUUUAUUCUCUUAUUUUUUCUAUGUGCCAUUAACAUCACAAUAAUUGAGAUAGUUUGUUCUGAACAUUAUGUCAAACCAUGUGAUCAGUAUCACUGCAUAUACAGUCCAUUUGAAUUGCUCCAACCAUGAGCUAUCUUUCUCUAUAUUAAAAAUUCAGCAUUGCUUGUUUUAUUUUGGAAUUAUGAUCAGGUGGAUAUGACUGGGUUUGGAUCUCAUUUUUGAGGAGUGGACUUUGGAAACUAUACAAUUCAGCUAAACUGAAUGGAAAUGGAAUCCCCCAAAAAGACACUUUUCAAUGUUCUGUUGUUAUCGUCUUUGAUGAUCAAUGUUUUGUAACAUUUUGAGGGGCAACUUUUUUCCAUUGUUUUUGUUUGAUGUUGAGAGGACCUGAAAAGAUGGAUUCUGCCAUUAAAGUGCUUUUCUUGUUAACGAUGGUGUAUUUAGCCUCCUUGUGCCUAGAAAAUAUCUCAAGUUGAUUUCCUGGCAUACCAUUUUCAGAACUUGGUUCCCUGUCUAAUCGGAUAAUGCAGCAGGUUGGAAAGUUCUGCUGUUACUUGUAGGCUUUUAGCAGUUGAAUACCAAGUGUCUGGUGGACUGUUUUAUUGCUGUUGCUGAGUCCUGGUCUUGAUAAAAUGGUAUGGGCCCACAUAUACUGCCCCUCAGCAUAACCAAAAAAAGGAAAGAAAAAGGCAUAGCUGAACUGUCCUCUCUUUCUGAUGGAUUCAUGGAAAUGAUGAUAAGAGGAAUCUGUCAAAUGGGUAUAAGAUUGAGAACCCCCUCCGGCCAUAAUGCAAGACAAAAAAAAUAAAAUAAAAUAAAAUAAAGGGGCGAUACCUCCGGAAUGUAGAAAAGGAAGUAUGGAGGAAUAUCCUAAAAGCAUAUGCCAUUUGUGUUUUGAUCAAUUCUGGGUUGAAAGCCAUGGGGGUUUAUUAUAAAGCUUGCAAGGGGGAACCCUGGUGGAGCAAAAAGAGGAGGGUUUGCUGAGCUGACCGGUCUCAGGGCCUCUUUCACUUGGUAGGUGACAUAGAUGUGAAUGAUCUGCCAAAGGAGAGUUGCCCUGUGUCUGGUUAAGUUCAAUGCCAUGUUCUGCAUUCUGUUUCCCUAUUAUUAAAGAGGUAACAUCAUAGAAUUCAAGGUUUUUUUUAGCCUUUUUUUAAAUAAAAAAAAAAUUCCUAGUGAGAAAUGUGCAGAGAGAUACAUCCGGAGAAAUAUAAAAAGACCUGAAUUGCAGGUUGAGAUGGCCGAGUUGGUCUAAGGCGCCAGAUCAAGGUUCUGGUCCGAAAGGGCGGGUUCAAAUUCCACUCUCAACAUUAUAAAAUUUGUAUAGUUAUUUAAUAUUUAUUAAAUUUUAUUAUUUAUAAAAUAUUGUUAAAUGUAUUACUCAAAGUUGAGAUGGCCGAGUUGGUCUAAGGCGCCAGAUUAAGGUUCUGGUCCGAAAGGGCGUGGGUUCAAAUCCCACUCUCAACAUCAACAUUUUUGGGUUAUUUGGGAAGUAACAUCUGCAGCAGAUUUCUCUCACUUUUCUUUUCUAUCUGCCAAAAGUAAAAAAUGAUGGUUUUUGAGAGGUUUAGUGCUUAUGUUAAUUGAGGGCUUGUGUGGUGACACUUUACCCCCACUAGUACAAUGGUACGCAUGGAGACAUUAUGUUUUAGACAAGAUAAAAAAUAGGGGCUUUUGAGAGGCCUGAUGGCAUAUCAAUGCAUGAAAAAAGGUUAUGACUCUCUUCUAAGACCGUUCUAAAAUGUUGUCCAUAAUCAGUAGUACCCAACACAUUGAAAUUAAUAAACACUUCAUAAAAGAAAAAUUGGAUAAUAUAACCAACUUGAGGAUAUGUUGACCAAAGGUUUAAACAAUGUUGUUUUUCAGACUAUCAUUGGCAAGUCAAGCGUAGAUAACAUCCCCAAACCAUCUUGAGGGAGAGUGUGAGAAAACCUACUUUCACAUAAUAGGAGAUCGCAGAUAAUUGUAAAUAUUGUCAACCUAGAUUAAGCCAUUUGGGGGGUGAAAUAAUCCCUAAUAUUUGAGGAUUCAAAUUAGGAUAGAAUCAUUCUUGUAUUAUAGGAAUUUAAUAUUCUAGAUAGGGCAGAAGCUGCUCCUAUUUUCCAACCUAGAAUUGUGUACCUAUAAACUACUAAAUGUGCUAUCUAGGAUUGUAACACUUAGGAGAAAAGAAACAUUCUGAUUUCUUCACGGCAAGUAGUGUACCAACCUACAAAUACUCUUAAAACUAUUAGAACUAUAGCUACCAUAAAAAUUUAAGACAAUGUCAUCAUCUUCAGUAAAAUUCCCCAGAGCAUUGUUAAUACCUACUAAAUGGGCAAAAUGUCAUUCAAAACACCUACAGAUUCCAACCAAAAGACUGAAAAUCAAUGACCACUGUAAUACCUACUGAAAAGUCACCCUAAGAGAGAUUUUACAUUCAAAAUUCAAUCUGAUAAUCAGAUUAUAGUUAUUGUGACAUUUUGGAGUAACACGCCUGCCUCAUCUAUGUAUGAGCAAAAACAUAGAGUCACUGAGACACAGAAUUUAAGUAUUGGAGAAAUAGUCAACAUUUGUCUUUAAUCAUGAACUUAACACAGAUCAUGAACACCAAAAUCAUGAUACUAUCCACCAUGCAGGGUUGAGAUGAAAACAAUCACAUCCUUCUCUUCUAAUGUAGUAUCAAGCUGGCCACUCAGCUCCCAAUCACAAUCAUUGACAAGGACCAGAACCCCAGGUCUCCUGCAUGACAAAACAAAUUAGCAUGUAGAAACAGAAUGAUGAUAAAUUGCAUUAAGUAUUUGGUGUGUCUGCAGUGUUUUUUUUGACAUUUUAGCUGUCCUCCAUUUGGUUCUUGGAGACCAUAUCCCUCUGUGUCCAUGCUCCUAUCCAUAUUCCAUUAUAAAUCUCCAUUUCUUAUUAAAAAAAGGAUGGAAGGAAAAUUUGAUUUAUGAUAUAUUUAGCAGUUUUUAUGAGGCUUUAAAAGAACUCAUGGUUCAGUUUUUAAUGGUUAGAAAUGUUCCCUUUUUCCUUUUUUCCUUUUUUACUUUUCAUUUCUCCUCUUUUAAACAUUUCAAUACAUUUCAGCAGAAAUUUUUUCUAGGAAAACAUGAUGCCAAACAGCAUCAACUACACUUGUUUGUAAUUCACACUUUAAAGCAUACCUAAGCACCACCCUUUGAAAAUUUAAGGAAAUGCCAAAGUUGCUCAGAACUUACACAGAAUCUCCUUUCAUGAACAUCUCAGGCCUCUCCUUGAUCAAAUUGGCACGAACCCAAGAGAGCAAAUCUUUCAUGGUUAACUGAAAAGAAUAUGCAGAAAAUAAGCCUUAGCAGUCUAACUGAACAUUAAGGGGGAAAAAAAAAAGAAUAAUUUUCCAUGUUUUUCUUGGUAUCACUUGUUAAGAAUGAAGUUCACCUUCUCUUCACCAACUUGUGGAUCAACAUUUACACUAUGGAUCUUUACUGACUCACAUAGAAGCUCGAGCCCACCACUGCACCAAAAAAUUAAUGACUUCAUGUCAACAAUGGAGCAAUUUUUUUUAAUUGCAAAGGAACUUUAUCCAUAUAGAACAAGGCAUGGGAUCAACAUUCUACCAAACACAAAUUCAGAAACAAAAGCUAAGUCCAGUUACAAGACUCAGAACUCCUCCAAAUUUUUGUUUUUCCAAGCCACCACUAAGGAUGAGAGAAUUAAAAAACAAAUAAAGUUAUCCAACAGAUCAUUUAUUACUAUUAGGGAAUUCGAUAAAUAAAUUGAACUACAGUUCAAGCAACUGAUGAUAUUACCUUAAGUUUCUACAAUUGACUGCCUGAUAUAUAGAAUCCAUGUGAUUUGGAAUCCAUGGCAUCAUCAUCAGUUCCUUAGCCCAAAGGUUUGGACGUGAGCUCUCAAUGUGGAAAAAGGCAGUGUAUUUUGAAAGGAGGGAGACUUACUCUGAUUCAUAGUACUUUAUCCGGUUUAACUAUCUACUUUAUGUUUUUGUUCACCAACCCCAAUAAAAUUAGAUUGAAAGUCAAGAAGAUUCAAAGGGUUUCCCAUGGGGAGGGGACACAUUGGAGAAAAAGCUACACUUAAUGUAGAGAAAAGCCGAAGGAGAGGGCUUGGCAUCAGAAGUCCUUCUCUUAAUAGGGCCUUGUUGGGAAAGUGGAGUUGAAUACUUGCCUUUGAAGGAGAUGCCUUUUUGAACCAAGUUAUUUAGGACAAAUAUAGAGAGGAGGUAGGUUGGAGUUCUUACAUUGUGAGAGGCGGGUGGGGAUCGGGCUUGGAAAGCUAUUAGAAUGGGACCUUAUCAAAAGUUUCUUUUAAGGUAGGGGGUGGGAGGAGAGUGAAAUUUUGUAUGUAUAGAUGAUGUGGGAAAGAACCCUUACAUGUGUCUUUUCCCACCUUGAAUGCCUUAGUGUUACAUAAAGCAGCAUGGGUAGCAAAUGUUUGGGAGGAGCAAGGGGAGGGAGGCAUUGAAACCCUUGUUUUGCUAGACUUUUAAAUGACUGGGAGUUGGACAUCAUAACGUCUCUUUUCUUAAGAUUGCAUGGGAAUUUUGUCAAGAGAGAAGGAUUGGUUGGUAUGGGUGGACUCAAGGAAUGGUGCUUUCUCGAUAAAAUCUUUGUACUCUAUGCUAAAGUAGGGGUGCUCAAUUAUUUUCCUUGAAGACAUUGUUUAGAACUUGUGGGUCCUAACUAACGUGAGUUUUUUUGCCUAGGAAACUAGUUGAGGGAAGGUUUUAACUUUGGAACAACUUCAGAGGAGGGAUUGGUCCUUGGCAAAUAGAUAUCACCUUUGCGAAAGCAGAGUUUAAAGAUCAUAUCCUUCUUCACUGCCCUAAAGCUAGGGAGCUAUGGCACUUGAUUUUUUCUUUAUUUGGCGUCACUUGGGUUCUAACUUUGUUUGUUAAGGAGACCUUGUUAAGUUGGCAUGACUACUUUGUGGGAAGAAAGCGAAAAAAGGUUUGGAGAACUACCUCAUUGUGUAUUUUUUGGACUCUGUGGAAAGAGAGAAACUGAAGAGCAUUUGGAAAUGUAGAACAAUUGACUCAUUCUUUGAAAAGUUCAUUUGUUUUUUUUUUAUAAGUAAAGAAAAGUUGUAUAUAAAGAAAAGAGGAACCAAAAACAGUUCAUUUGUGAUUAAUAUGUUUUCAUAGGUUAAGAUGUACAUUGCCGAAGGCAAAUUGUCUUUAUUUGAGUUCGUAGAUUGGAUGGGGUCUAAUUAAGGAAGGGGCAGUUUUUUUGUAUUUACGCUUGUUGUGCUAGGCCUUUUGUUUACCGUGUAUACAACCCAUGUACCAUGGCAUAUAGGGCUUUUCAAUAAGAUUUUUUUCCUCUAGCUUACUUAUCCAAAGAAAAAAAAAAAGAAAAAAAGAAUGGCCCUCACUCUUUAUUCUACAUGUACUCCCCCAUCAAGAGCUAUAUUUUCCCAAAUCCUACAUUUGGUUCUUAGAAAAUUUGAAGAAAAAUGCAAUGGAAAGACAAUAGUGAGAAAAAUUAAAAGAAAAAAAACAGUGAAGAAAAAUAAGAAAUAGAUUUAAAAGUCAAUAAAUGAUUUUUACAUGCUUUUCCAAUUGCAUUUUACCUAUUUUCUUGUCCUACAUAAAGAUUAGAAAAUGCAUAAGUUUUAAAUUAAUUUUAAUUAUAUUUUAUUUUCUUUCAUAUUUCUCAUGGUGAACCAAACAUGAGAAAAUCAUUUUCUUCUGUGUUCUUUUGUUUUUCUUAGUACUUUCCAAGAACCAAAUAUAGCAAAAGAGUAUAGUAAAGUAACCUCAACCAAGUAUAUGACACCUUUCUAGUUACUACAACCAAAAAGUUAAACAUCAUAGAAACCGAUAAUAUAUGGCACACUAUAAAACCAUUGCCAUAAAUGCUCUUCUCUGUCUUUUGAACACAUGAACAAAUACAAGCCUAUCUAUCUUAUGAUAAAGAUGUGAACCAUCUUCACCAAACAGUACUCCACCUUUCAAAAACCAUGCACGUAUCUCACAACUACAGCUCUUUCUUUUCCGUGGUCUAGGGUUUCUCACACCAAUCAAACUGCAACUAAACUGUUCCUAUCCUUCCAAUUCAAGACAAAAUGCCCAAAACCCGCCCCUUAACGACACCCAAUUUCCUUAGUUGCAGAGAUAAGAAUUUGAAUUAAAAUAUGUACAACAUUUUCUUAAUUACCAAUCAAACUGUGAGAAUUCAGAUCUUUUAUAAUCGAUUAAGAAAUUGUUCUAUAUAUGAUCCAACAAACAUAAUUAACAGUCUGCUAAACAGAAACAAUUAGUGAAAUAUCAUCAAAAUCAAACAGAAAAAACACAAAAAAAAAAAAAAAAAAUAAACUUGAAAACCAACAAAUUUCGGAAUUCCGAUUUCUUAACGACCAGAAGACGAGACACGACCGAUUAGCAAAGAGAAAUAAACGAAAAACAAUAAUUACCCGAACUCAAGAGUCAGUUGCAUCCCCAAAAAGAAAAUUCCGAACCGAAGACGAGAGAAAAUUUCUAAACCCUAGGUAGAAAGCAAAAGCAGAAACAGAGAUGGGCUUUUCUUUUCGGUCCAACCAAAGCCCUAAAUGGUUAAUGGGUCUGGAGUGGCGGCAAGAAUUUGAGCCCUACCUACCAUGUUGCUUAAAUCCUAAGCAUAUUAUACCUCAACGUUUAGUUUUGCUAACUGUGGAUAAUUUUAAAUUUUAGAAUUAAGAUAAUGAAAUUAAUUUAUUCUCUCAACUUAUCGCUUAUAAAUUUUGUUUUCUCUUUCAAGAUGAUUGAGUAGGAUAGAAGGUGAGACACAAGAUAGAAACAUAAGAAGGCUCAAGGGAGGAGUAUUGAAGCGACUAAACUAGUAGUCCAUAUAUAAUUGGGGAUGGACAGAGCAUUUUGAAGGGGCGUUUAGAGAUGGACUCUUAGGGGUCUCCCAUGCCUCUUUUUAUUAAUCAUGUCGAAAUUGGUUUGAUACAUACAUAAUCUAUCUUGUUGCCAACUCCGUCUAUUAAACCAAAACCCUCAAUAUAUUUUAAGAACUCCAUGGUGGGAGGGUCAAGUAAAUUAUCAAGGUGUAUUAGUUCGAUGUAGGACCUACCUAAUUUUGCUUCUUAGUCGAAUAGAUGUAAUAAUAUUAGUGUUCAAAGUUUUGAGUAAAAUGGUUUUGAGGGAAUUUUGAGACUAAAAGGAAGAUCAUGGGAUGAUAUAGACUCAAGCAAGGUACCCCCACUAUUCAUAAAAUGAGAGGCGCAUGCAUGCCAACACCGUCUAUACAAAAGGUGAGGUUAAUAUCACCUCAUGAGGGAAUAAAUCAAUACCUACUUUGCAUGAGGAAUUAGGCUAAUAUCACCUUGUGUGGUGAAUGGAGUAACUGAGAGAAGAGUGAGGUGGGGAAGGAGUGUAAGCGACACUACUCUUUGCUUGGAUAUUUGGUCUAAUAAACACUUUAGAAUGACCUUGGAAAUAAGCUCUUAGGUAUCUUAAACCGAAAAUUGUUUUAGUCCUCAUAUUCUUCCAUUGUUUAUAAAUAAACCUUUUGAACCACAUGUAUAUAUAGAUGUAGAAGUAUAAGAUUGAAUCCCAUUAAUUAAUGAGGCUCAACUAGUGUGAGGCCUCUAUAUACUCAUAUCAAUGAGCUCUUAUACCAAUAUCCUUAUGCUAUUGCUUGGCCACAUGACAUUAGAUGCAUGCCGAUGGGUCCCUUGGUGGCAACAUGCCUCCUCUUCUUAAUCUAGUUGGAAGAUUCGAAGCAUGCACAAUUUAUCCUACUUUGACAAGCCGCUAAUUCUAUAUACUAGACCAAAGCCUUUAGCAUGUCCUAAGAACUCAAUCGUAGAGAGCCAAGCCCACCCCACCAAGGUGCAUUUAGCCUUAUUUUUUUACUUAGGUAGGUAUAAUAACAUUUGCUACACCAUAAGGGGGACAAUUUUGUGGGAGUAUAGAGGCCAAGUGGAGAGGCCAUAAGAUGAUACAAACUUGAGCAAGACACUCCCAUAAGAAAAGUAAAAUACACCAACCUUGCAUGAGGGAUCAUGUUGACAUCACCUUCUGGUGGUCUAGGUCAGUUGACCUUGUGACACCACCUCUACAAGUUUAAAAGGCUCAAUCAUUAUCUCCUCAUGCAAGGAAAUAGUGAUAUCUCACUAAUUAUCUUCCUAAUUUGAAGCUAAUGGUACACUUCCUCGGUAUCCAUCAUAGGUAGAUAGACAUUUACUAUGAUGGGGUAUUUACUAUGAUGGGGUCAACACCAAUGCCAAGAGUGUCUUCUAAUCUUUCAUAAAGUGUGUUAGUGCAUGUAUUAGUGACAUAAGACGUGUAAUUGAGUGAUUGGAGAGUCCUCUUAUAUGCAUGAUGGCACAUUGUUGGUGAUCCAACACAUUGCAUUGAAACAUACAGUGGGAGUAUGGAGGUCCACAUGGAGUAGUGAGUGAAAUUGGACAUUAAAAAAAGAUUUGAUUUUUUUUCUAAUUAUUCAAUGGUAGGUGAUAACUUUAAUCAACUCUCUAAUUAUACUUUCAAAUGAUUGACAAACCUAAUGUCAAAGAUUCCAAAUCAUACAAAAAUGCCCAAUGCUUAAAAUCCUAAUUUAGGGUAUUUGCCUUAUGGCUUUAAAAUAUAUAUCAAAAUGAAACAACAUAUUCUAAAAAAAUAUUCAAAAAGCACAAAUGAAAUUAUUUCUAAAUUUACAACACUUUAUGCCACAUGAAUUUCUUCAGCAUAUAAGCUACUUAUAUGAAAGUCAAUAAAUGCAAAACUGAGUAUGCCCAUUUUGGACUUACCUACAUCAAAGGUACCCCAUAAAUGCUUCUUUAGUACCCUUACUGCGACAAGACCUCACUUGAGAGCACAGCAAAAUCUGGAGAAGUGCUUUCUUUUUUAGUAGUUUCUCCAAAAAAAUGAUUAGGAGGAAAAUUUUCAAUUCCAAUGUGGCUUGUUCCAAUUAAAGGUGCCACACAAAAUGCCCAUUAAGAACUACGUACAAAUGUGGCAGGCACACAAAUGGUAACACAAUAUUGAAAAUGUGGAUGGAUAAGGUGUUCCUUUUCUAUCAUUAUCCCCAUAAACAUGAUUGGAAAAAAAAAAUUCUAUUAUUUUCUAGCUUUUUCUAGUCAUGCUGCCGUGUCAUGACUCAUGUUAAAGAGUACAAAUAGUGGUCCUUAGAAGAAUCAAACUUGGAUUUCAUCACUCAAAUGAAAGACUCCUAAAAUUUAAUUGCUUCUUUUAAUGAUAAUUAAUAAAUUGUCCACCAAGACAACAAGUAAUUAUCCGUCUCCACUCAACUAGAUGAAACUAAUUAAAUAUACCCUUAAAAGCUUAAUAAGUAAUAGUAUUCUAAUCUCUCAUUCUCAUGUUCAUCGGCAGCUGUUUUUCAUGUCCCUUUAUCCAAACAAGGCGUGCUGUAGUGGGGUGGAAUUUGAUUUGAUUAAUUUUAAGGUAGUGAGCACAAAAGGGCUCUUAUUUCUUUGCCUAUUUAACCACUCUUCAACUUUGGUCAUUCCUCACUCUUUUGGGUUGAGAAAAAAACAGGUGAAGUUACACAAGAAGCCGUUAGUUGUGUGCUUGUGUGUGUUUGAUGGGGUCUUAGGUCCAUUUCUUCUUGGUGCUGAUGUCCUUUGAACAUCUAAAGCCCAGGGCCUCGUCUUAGGUGGAAAGAUCCCUUUGUAUCAUUGUGUAAGUGAUGAGUAUCUCCGAGUGCCCUUGGAUGUUACUGGGUGAUCAAUCUAUGGCAACUAGAAGAGAUCAGACAAACCAAAGCUUUGCCCGCCUAACUGUUGGAAUGUUUGGAAGCAGCUUCCAAAUAGUUUUGAUCAUGAUUUCUUACUCUUCACCAAUUGUCUGAUCUACAUAUAUGUAGUUUGGAGUACAGUUAGUUUAAUAUGAUAUUGAAGUUCUGGUUCUCCAAUUUCUACAUGUUAUCCCCCCUUCUCUGUAUGCGAGUUGUAUGACAUAAAUGUUUGUAUUAAUAUAUAUUCUUCUUUUUCAAACUGCAGACACCAUGAUGUUUAGAACAUCACUUCUAUUGCUGGCUUUCAUGGCUGCUGCAACUUCAAUUGCUUCGACAGACAGACAAACAUAUGUAGUUCACAUGGACAAGACCAGGAUCACAUCUUUAGAUGGUAUUCUUGGUGAUUCCAGAAAAUGGUAUGAAGCAGUUAUGGAUUCCAUCAAUGAACUCUCAAUUCAAGGAGGAGGCGAAGAAGAAACAUCACCUCCCGAGCUCCUUUACACCUAUGAAACUGCCAUCACUGGCUUUGCUGCAAAGCUCUCCAUCAAGCAGUUGCAGGCCUUGAACAAAGUUGAGGGGUUUCUCUCAGCUGUUCCUGAUGAAUUACUAGGUCUCCACACCACACACUCACCUCAGUUUCUUGGCCUGCAUACUGGGAGAGGACUAUGGAAUGCUCACAACCUGGCCACUGAUGUGAUAAUUGGCAUUGUUGAUACUGGAAUCUGGCCUGAACAUGUUAGUUUUCAAGAUAGGGGCAUGUCAUCGGUGCCCUCUCAAUGGAAAGGAGCUUGUGAGGAAGGCACAAAGUUCACACAUUCCAAUUGCAACAAGAAGCUUAUUGGCGCAAGAGUCUUUUUCAAAGGGUACGAAGCCAUUAGAGGGAGAAUCAAUGAAUUGGUGGAUUUCAAAUCCGCUAGGGACUCACUGGGCCAUGGAACGCACACUGCAUCAACUGCAGCUGGUAAUGUGAUACCUGGAGCAAGCCUUUUCGGUAGGGGAAAGGGCUUUGCAAGGGGAAUGAGAUAUACAUCAAGAAUUGCUGCAUAUAAAGCUUGUUAUGCUGGUGGCUGUGCAAACUCUGAUAUAUUAGCAGCAAUAGACCAGGCUGUUUCCGAUGGGGUUGAUGUAUUGUCACUGUCCGUGGGAGGUGACUCAAAGCCUUACCAUAUUGACAGUAUCGCUAUAGCUUCCUUUGGGGCAGUCCAAAAUGGUGUUUUCGUUUCUUGUUCUGCGGGAAAUUCAGGGCCUUCUAGUUCAACUGUUGCCAAUUCCGCACCUUGGAUCAUGACAGUUGCUGCAAGCUCCCUCGAUAGAAGCUUCCCUACUAUAGUUAAGCUUGGCAACGGAGAAACUUUUCAUGGGGCAUCGUUGUACUCUGGGAAAGCAACUAAGCAACUAUUGCUUGCUUAUGGAGAAACUGCAGGUCGUGUUGGAGUUAAUUAUUGCAUUGGUGGCACGCUUUCUCCCAAUCUCGUAAAAGGGAAGAUUGUUGUAUGCAAACGAGGCGUGAAUAGCCGAGUUGUAAAGGGGGAACAAGUGAAAAUGGCAGGUGGUGCUGGAAUGAUACUGCUGAACACUGAAGCUCAAGGGGAGGAGCUUGUUGCUGAUCCCCACGUUUUACCGGCCAUUUCUUUAGGGGCUUCAGCAGGUAAAUCCAUAAUAAACUAUGUAAAUUCUGGGAAUUCUACUGCUUCUAUUGUAUUCCGUGGGACUGCAUAUGGGAAUCCUGCGCCUGUAAUGGCAGCAUUCUCUUCAAGAGGCCCUGCUUCAGAAGGGCCUUAUGUGAUCAAGCCCGAUGUGACUGCUCCAGGCGUGAACAUACUGGCUGCAUGGCCACCAACUGUAAGCCCAACCGGGCUCAAAAGCGAUAACAGAAGUGUACUAUUUGAUGUACUCUCCGGGACAUCAAUGUCUUGCCCUCAUGUUAGUGGCCUAGCCGCGCUUCUUAAAUCAGUUCACAAAGAUUGGUCACCCGCCGCCAUCAAGUCAGCCCUGAUGACAACUGCUUAUACUCUAGACAACAAGAGAAGUCCAAUUUCAGAUUUUGGUUCUGGUGGCUCAUCAGCAACCCCUUUUGCAUAUGGUUCAGGCCAUGUGAAUCCAGAGAAAGCCUCCAAACCAGGGCUAAUUUAUGACAUUACAACUGAGGACUACCUCAACUACUUGUGUAGCCUUAACUACACCUCUUCUCAGAUAGCUCGAGUGUCAAGAAGGAUCAGUUUCACUUGCCCAAAUGACUCAGUUCAUCUUCAACCUGGAGACUUGAACUAUCCUUCAUUUGCAGUACUUUUCAAUGGCAAUGCCCAAAAAAACCGUGCCACAUACAAAAGAAGUGUAACAAAUGUUGGGUACCCUACUACUACCUAUGUGGCACAGGUGCAGGAACCAGAAGGAGUAUCAGUCAUGGUUAAACCUAAUGUUUUAAAGUUUAAAGAACUCAAUCAGAAACUGAGUUACAAGGUGAGUUUCGUUGCAUCGCGAAAAACAUCAACUUCUUCUAGUUGGUCUUUUGGAUCUCUAGUUUGGGUGUCUAGGAAAUAUAGAGUUAGAAGUCCCAUUGCAGUAACUUGGCAGUAGCUUGAAGACUAAAGAACGGCCGGCUGUUCCAUUUAAGAGCAUAUAUAAAAUAUCAUACUUUAUAUGAUGAAUGGUUUCAUCAGCGCUACCAUUUGCCAUUUUGGGGGAUAUAGUAAGAAAAAAUUUCAUCCUUCUCCAUCAUCAUCAAUGCUUUGUCAACUGAUAUUCAUUCUACAUUUUUGAAAAUGGUAAUGCCAUCCAAAAUUGAAACCAAUUUAUCAAAUGCAUAAGUAGUUUUUUCAUUUGAUAUUAUCUACGUACUGCAUCAUCAAUUUAAUUUUAAUUGAUUGGAUCUCAAAUGCAUUACAUUAUUUGCCAUCUUUUGCUUUUGGACAUUUCUACACUUUAGUUUCCUCAGCUGAAGAUUGAACAAUUACUUUAAUCUUCUCCAAUCUCUAAUGGAUAGUUUUCAAUGAGGUGCUUAAAAAAAAAAUUGCCAAUGAGAAUGAAUUUGCUUAAUGUUCUCAUUAUUUCAUAGAAGACCCCUUCAAGGAGGAGAGUUCAACAAAGCCAAGCUCUGGGGGUUGAUCUUUUUAAGAAUAAGCUUUGUCCAAGAAAGCCCUUUCCAUGUAUAUAUAUAUAUAAGGGUCUUCAAAAAGCCCACGGCCCAGGCCCGAGCCUAUUUCUGGAUGGGCCGGGCCACAGUCCCCAAUUUAGGCCCGGACUGGCCCGCUUGUAGGCCCAUAGGCUGCCCGUAGGCCCGCCACUUAAAAAAAAUGUAUAUACAUAUAUAAAAAAAGAUAUUCAAAAAAUAGAAAAUGCUACAUUAAUAAAAAUAUUCAUUGCUAACUAUUUUAUUAAUUGAAUGUAUACAUUACAUUUGAAAAUGUGGGAAAAGUUUACAUCACUACAAAAUAAGUACAUCCCAACUAGGUUGGCAUCCACUUAUUUAUCAAUCAUUUGUACUUUUCAACCACAAAAAAUAAAAAUAAAAAUAAAAAUAUGACAUACAUUUAGUAAAAUAUUUUAAUCAUUAUCUUUUGGCGGUGAUGGCGAACUAUCGCAAAUUCAUGAAGAUCUUGAUGAUUUUAGUUUUUCCAUAUUGGCAAACAUAUUUUCUUCUUGAAUAGAAUCAAAUAUCCUUUUAUCUGCUAUUGCCUAGUCUUUCACACAUAUAUUUGCUUCAAUAGAAUCUGGCGUUAAGCUGCAUCGUUUAUCACUAACUACUCUUCCACCUACACUAAAAGCAGCUUCUAAUGCAACUGUACUCACAGGAACUGUUAGUACAUCACGAGCAAUGAUAAAAAAUACAGGAUAUUUGUGUUGUUGUGAUUUCCACCAUAUUAAAAUAUCAAAAUCUUCAUCAUCUUCAAAUGAAAUUAAAUCAGUAUUAAGAUAUCUAUCUAAAUCAGUUGUGUUGUUUGGAGAACUAUUUGUUGUCUUCUUUCGACUUUUCAACAUUUCUAGAGCUCCUUUAUAAAAAGAUGAAGAGCUUGUAGAUGUAGGUGGUAAUUUAAUAGAACUAAUAUCAUCACCAUAUUUUUCUUUAUAAUAGUUAUAUAAAUUAUAUAAUAAUGAAUUUUUUUCAUUUUUAAGUUCUUCAAUUUUUAUUUGGUCAUUAAAAUAAAUAAUUGUUAACCAUUCAUCCAAAGCUUCAAAUUUCAAUCUAGGGUCCAUAAUUAAACCAAGAUAAAAAAUUAAAGGUAUUUCUCCCCAAUAUUUUCUAAAUUUUUCUAUCAUUGCAAAUAUUACAUCAUUAAAUAUAUCCAAAUUUAAAUAUUUUUUAAGUACAAUAAAAAUAUUAGUUAUUUGCAUAACAACUCGGUUUGAAGAUGGAUAAUAUACACCACAAAUUUUUUUUGUUAAAGUAUCAAAUACUUCAAAAAGAUCUCUUAAAAGAUCUGCAAUAUGCCAAUCAUAAUCAUUUAAUACAUCAAUAUCUGUUUCACAAUCAUUGCUAAUUAAUUGUAUUUCAUAUAGUUCUACUACUUUUCUAUAUUUUAUAAUAGUUUAUAAAAGUUUAUAAGUGGAAUUCCAUCUAGUGGGCAUAUCCAAAUUUAUAUUUCUUUUUUUUCAUAUUUAACAUUUUGGAACAAUAAAAAAAUAAUUCAUGUUUUGCUUGAGAACUAUUAAGACCCGCAGCAAUGCCUCUAAUUUUUUGUAAUGUAUCAUCAAUGUGUUUUAAUCCAUUUUUUACAAUUAAAAUUAAAAUAUGUGCACAACAACGCUCAUGAAAUAUUUUUCAUUGAUUUUCUUUUAUUUGCCAAUAUCGUUUUAAUCUAUAUACUGCUGCAUCAUUAUUAAAAGCAUUAUCUAAUGUUAUUGUAAAUAUUUUAUCACGAAUGCCAAAAUCUAUAAUUUCAUCAUUUAUUAAAAAUGCUAUAUUUUUACCAUUAUGUGGAGCAUUUAUUAUUUUAAAUGAAAUAAUUCUUUUAUUUAAUUUCCAUUCAUUAUCAAUAUAAUGAGCAGUUAUACAUGAAAAAAACCACUGUGAGUUAAAGAUGUCCAAAUAUCAGAUGUUAAACAAAUUCUUCCUUCAAAAUUUGCAAAAAAAAAAAAUUUGAAUUUUCUUUUUGUGUUUCAAAAUUUUUUAUAAGACUUCUUUUAACCGUAUUUCCAGAGCAACCUUAAAAUUGAGGAUUAACAGCUCGUUGCAUUGUUCCCGUAUAAUAAUGAGUUUCCAUGAAAUUGAAAGGUUGUUCUGCUCUUAUUAUAUAAUCAGUCAUUUCUUCACGACAAUAAGAUUCAUCAUAAAAAAAAUGUUUUUAAAUUUCCACUUUCAUCUUUACCUAAUUGCAUAUAAUUUCUAAUAUCUACAUUAUUUUUAGUUUUAUAAUUUUCAUGAUGCCUUUUUAAAUGACUUGUACUUGCAUUUAAACCACCACUAAGAAGUUUGUUACAAAUUUUACAUUUUGCUUUUAUUUCUUUUUUAUUAUUUUCUAAAUUUAUUUCUAUUCUAUCAAAAAAAUUUCAUAUAUUUGAAGUAAAUUUUUUGUUAUCACAUGCAUUAGAUGAAGAACAAUAACCACUUGUCAUAAUUAUAAUUAUUGAUAAAAUAUUAUGCUAAAAAUAAUAAAUGUAAAAUUAAAAUGUAACAAAUAAAUAAAAGAAAAGGUGAAGUAUGUUACUAAAUUGGAGAACCGAAGCAGAAAUUCCUUCAAAUUCGAACUCUUUGAGCCACCAAUACUUGUUUUUCACCACCAAUAAUAUUGAAUAAUUUGAGACAAAAUGCAAUAAUUGGAAAUAUUGUGGAAUGGGAGAGAGCUUAAGAGUUGAGAGAAUGAAAUAAAUUGAGGAUAUUUAAUAUUUAUAGGGAGGUAUGUGACCGUUAAGAUUUAAUUUUUUUUUUAACUGCCAAGAUGACUGUUCAACGGUCAUAUACUUUGAAAUUUAACAUUUGAAGUGAGUGGUUUGUUCAACGGUCAUGUGACUGUUGAACAGUCAACUCACUUUUUUUUUUUUCAAAAAUCAUACAAUAUUUAUAAUAUAUAUAUAUAUAUAUAUAUAUAUAUAUAUAUAUAUAUAUAUAUAUAUAACUAAUGCAAAAUAGUUGCAUAAAAGAGGGACAACUUAAUUGGUGGUUGGCUCUUCUUGAAAUCCACAAGGGAAGUGUUCAAAUCCCCCUUCCUUUAAAACUCAAAAGACAUUUUAAUUUUUACCCAAGCCCGCCCGCCAAGCCUGGCCAGCCCAUUGACUGGUCAACGGGCUCAGUGGCCCACCCCGAGCUGGGCCAUGGGCCUUGCUCCUCCGGGCAGGGCGGCCCGGCCCGUUGGAGACCCUUAUAUAUAUAUAUAUAUAUAGGAAGUUAGAUGAAGGGGGUUCCUUUAAGUGGAUGGUUAUGAGGAGGAACUUCCAAGAAUGGGGACCUCCCUUAAGGGAGAGCCCAAAUAAUGUGGUGAAAUAUUUUUACAGUGCUUAAAGGUUUACCUUUUUGAAAAUAAAUUAAGUCCAGAGAGUAAAUGCAAAUAGCCUUUUUUCUACUUAACCAAGCUCUAUAAUAUCACGUUGAAGUACCAAUUUUCCUAAUCAUGCUCUUUAACAUGUUUUAAGGCUAUUCUUCUGUCAUAGCAUGCCGUCUCCUUCUUAGCUAAAUGUGGUUAAAGAAACAAGGACAUUGGUGUGGUGCCAACCAGGUCCCCUUUGAUGCCUAGAAUAGGGAGAAAUCAUGCAUUCGUAGAAAAAGAGGAAAGUGGGGGUGAAAUCAAUACCUCUCCAUUUUAAUAGAAGAAAAGGAUUAUGAGUUCUCAUUUUUUAUUCUAUCAAUCUUCUACAUGUCCAUGAACUUAAUGUCUGCUUUUUUUUUUUCUUUAUUAUUAUUAUUAUUAUUAUUCAUGUGGUUUAUAUCACAAGUGCACGACAAGGUGAAACAACCAGACUAGCUAGUUUUCAGAAAGGAAGGCCAAAAAGAACUUUGUUUAGUUUUUCUUUUGUAAAAGUGUGCUAGUGUGCUCAACCACCUUCACAGUACACUCAUCUGUUGGCAAUAAAAGUGGCAAUAGCUUAAAAUGGGACAAAAGGGAAGAAGACUCUGAUGAUGAGGGCAUAUGGUCACACCCCAUGAGCUGGCUGGUCCCAUCAAGAUGGUCCCCAAAGAGGGGUUAUUGGAUUUCUUUUUACCAACUAUAUGCCUCAUCACUACUACCGGUGAGAAAGCAAAAAAAAUGAUGUGUCAAAUGCUACACCCCUCUUCUCAUGCUCUACCAAACCCACUUGUCAAUUCCCAUCACUCCCACCCCCUAGUGGCAUUUUUUAGGAAUGAGGCAUAUAAUUCUAACUCCUUAAUUUUCUUUCGGUUCUGAGUUGAUUCCCUAAGUUUUAUUUUAGAUGUUUGUCGGAUUUCAGAAAAAGAAACAAGCGAUACUUCAUCUUUGAUAGAUGUUAAUCAAUUUUCUGAUCAAUCUCUCUAUCAUCAAAGGUUCCAAAUUGCUAGACCCUCGAUCACUCUAGAAAUUGGGUGAUCCAAUGUCAAUUCUUUAACCACUAUUAAGAUGUUUUGAUCUCUAUGUAGAAGCUCAGCUAUCUUCACUCACAAGUCAAAUGAGGAGAUGAUUAACUUGUCAAUUCGUUUGUGACAUCAAGUUUGAGAAUCUACCCUUUAAUGGAAAAGCUACAUGAUUAGUGGGUCACUAGACGACGGAAUGUUAUUGAAUCAUGUUGUUUUAGAAUCUUAUGCUGGUAAUAGACCACCUUACAUUCUCUAGCUAUUAGAAAAUGUGAAAGAAACAAGACCCAGAAAAUCACAAAUGCCCACUGAGAAGCACGAAUGUGUCAAGCUCAUAAAUGACACAGCACAUAAAAGAUCUGGAAAAAGGGUUCCUUUUCUCUAGCAUUUUCCCGAGAAACAUGAUUGGAAAGAAAAUUUUCCAAUCCUUUCUCUAGCUUGUUCCAAUAAUAAGUACCCAGAAAAUGCCCAUCAACAACUACAAACGUGACAAGCUCAAAAAUGGGAGAACAGUAUGAAGAAUUUGGAUAAGGGUUUCCUUCCCCACCAUUUUCCUUUAGAGGCAUCAUUCAACACAACAUAAAAUGAAAGACUCCUAAAGUUUAAGACCCUCUUUGGUUGUAUAAGUAUAAUCAAGUGUCCAUGAAGACAUGUAAACACCUCUCUCCACUGAACAAUACGAAACUACACUCCUACAAGUAAUUGUAAGCAGAAGUGCUUUUCUUACACCCUCAAAAUUGGAUUUUCCAAAGCGGGUUGAUCAGGGCGUAGGGCAGUCCCACAUCUCUCACUCUCAAGUUGAUUUUGCAGCUUUAUUUCGUGUCCCUUUUUCAAAACCAAGGCGUGCUGUUUUGAGGAAAAGGAGAGGUAGUGGGUAGAUACUUUGAUCGUAAGUCAGUUAGUUAUUAUGUCAACUCUAUGUGGCACCUUUCUUUGCCUAUAUAAGCCACUCUUCAACUUUGGACAUUCUUCACCCUUUUGAGGACAAAACAGAGGUACAGUUGCGCAAGAAGUUGUUAAUUAGUUGUGUGUUUGUGUGUGUAUAAUGGGCUGUUAGGUCCAUUCCUUCAUGGGUUUGGGUGGUGAUAUUCUUUUCUGUCUCAUGUGAUCAGUAGGAUAACAGUAUAACACCUUAGUAUGUGUAUCAGCAGUUCUGCCACUGGGUCGGGGUCGGGUUGGUAGUACUAGUAAGGCAUGUUGCUGCAUACGGGUCUUUAGGCCCAUUCCUAAAUUGGCAUCUAGUUCAAAUGUAAGUCACAUAGAAUCAUGUCUAGCUAGCUUGCUUGGCUUGUAGUUUUGCUGCUGGGCUCGGCCUAGGUUUGCCUGGUUUGAUCUCCAAAUGUUCUUGGGUGUCACCGGCAGUUCAAUUGUUAAUUAUCAAAGCUCUAGUCUUCUGAUCUUUGCUCACGUUACCCCCCAUAAUUAGUGACUAAUUCACUUGACAUAAUGUCCCUACUAAUACAUAUUCUCCUCUUUCAAACAGGCACCACAAUGUUUCGAACAUCAUUUUUGUUGUUGGCUUUCAUGGCUGCCGCAACUUCAAUUGCUUCAACUGACAAACAGACGUAUGUAGUUCACAUGGACAAGGCCAAGAUCACAGCUUUACGCCUUGCUCUUGGCGAUUCCAAGAAAUGGUAUGAAGCAGUUGUUGAUUCCAUCAUUGAACUCUCAACUCAAGAUGAAGAAGAAGAAACAUCUCCUCCUCAGCUCCUAUACACUUAUGAAACUGCCAUGACCGGCUUUGCCGCAAAGCUCUCCAUCAAGCAGUUGCAAGCCUUGGACAAAGUUGAGGGGUUUCUAUCAGCUGUCCCUGAUGAAUUACUAAGUCUCCACACCACACACUCACCUCAGUUUCUUGGCCUGCACAAGGGGAAAGGACUGUGGAGUACUCACAACUUGGCUACUGACGUUAUAAUUGGCAUCAUUGAUAGUGGAAUCUGGCCUGAACACGUUAGUUUCCAUGACUGGGGCAUGUCACCUGUGCCCUCUAAAUGGAAGGGUGCCUGCGAGGAAGGCACAAAGUUCACAUCUUCCAACUGCAACAAGAAGCUUAUAGGUGCGAGAGCCUUUUUCAAAGGCUAUGAGGCCAGAGCCGGGAGAAUCAAUGAAACAGUGGAUUACCGAUCUGCUAGGGACUCCCAAGGUCAUGGGACACACACUGCAUCAACUGCAGCUGGUGAUAUGGUAGCUGGAGCUAGCAUUUUUGGCAUGGCCAAGGGCUCUGCCAGUGGAAUGAUGUAUACAUCAAGAAUAGCUGCCUACAAAGUUUGUUAUAUUCAAGGUUGCGCUAACUCCGAUAUAUUAGCAGCAAUAGACCAGGCUGUUUCCGAUGGGGUUGACAUCUUGUCACUCUCUUUGGGAGGUGCCUCAAGGCCGUAUUAUAGUGAUAGCUUGGCUAUAGCUUCUUUCGGGGCAGUUCAAAACGGAGUUUUAGUUUCUUGCUCUGCAGGAAAUUCAGGCCCUUCUAGUUCAACAGUUUCCAAUUCCGCACCAUGGAUCAUGACCAUUGCUGCAAGCUCCCUUGAUAGAAGCUUCCCUACUAUAGUUAAGCUUGGUAAUGGGGAAACAUAUCAUGGGGCAUCUUUAUAUUCUGGCAAGCCAACUCAUAAACUAUUGCUUGCUUAUGGAGAAACAGCGGGCAGUCAAGGAGCUGAAUACUGCACUAUGGGCACACUCUCUCCGGAUCUGAUAAAAGGAAAGAUUGUUGUAUGUCAGCGAGGCAUCAAUGGCCGAGUUCAAAAGGGGGAACAAGUGAGAAUGGCGGGUGGAGCUGGAAUGCUACUGCUGAAUACUGAAGAUCAAGGUGAAGAACUUAUUGCUGAUGCACACAUUUUACCAGCCACUUCCUUAGGGGCUUCAGCAGCCAAAUCCAUAAUAAAAUAUGCAAGCUCCAGGAAUCCAACAGCUUCAAUUGUAUUCCAAGGGACUGUGUAUGGCAAUCCUGCGCCUGUAAUGGCAGCAUUCUCUUCAAGAGGCCCUGCUUCAGAAGGGCCUUAUGUGAUCAAGCCCGAUGUGACUGCUCCAGGCGUCAACAUACUGGCUUCAUGGCCACCAACAGUUAGCCCUACUCGGCUCAAUACGGAUAACAGAAGCGUACUAUUCAAUAUAGUCUCUGGGACAUCAAUGUCUUGCCCUCAUGUUAGUGGCCUAGCCGCGCUUCUUAAAGCAGUCCACAAAGACUGGUCACCCGCAGCAAUCAAGUCAGCCCUGAUGACAACUGCUUAUACUCUAGACAACAAGAGGGCUUCAAUUUCUGAUAUGGGUUCUGGUGGCUCACCAGCCACCCCAUUCGCUUGUGGUUCAGGUCAUGUCAAUCCGGAGAAAGCCUCUGAUCCAGGGCUAAUUUAUGACAUUACAACCGACGACUAUCUCAACCACUUGUGUAGCCUUAACUACACCUCUUCUCAGAUAGCUCUAGUGUCAAGGGGGAUCAGUUUCACUUGCCCAAAUGACACACUUCAUCUUCAACCUGGAGACUUGAACUACCCUUCAUUAGCAGUACUUUUCAAUGGCAAUGCCCAAAACAACAGUGCCACAUACAAAAGAACUGUAACAAAUGUUGGGCAACCUACUAGUACUUAUGUGGCGCAGGUACAGGAGCCUGAUGGAGUAUCAGUCAUGGUUGAGCCUAGUGUCUUAAAGUUCAGAAAAUUCAAUCAGAGACUGAGUUAUAAGGUGAGCUUUGUUGCCAUGGGAGCAGCAUCAGCUUCAGUACCAAGUUCAUCUUUCGGAUCUCUUGUUUGGGUGUCUAAGAAGCAUAGGGUUAGAAGUCCUAUUGCAAUAACUUGGCAGUAGCCCUCCAUGAAAGCCUUCAUCUACAGAGAUUCCAAGCUUGAAUUCUAUUAUGUUAUGGAAAAUUAGAUGAAGAUCAGUACUCUUCAUUUUGUCCUAAUAGAAAUGUAGCAUUCAAUAAGAGACAUGGGACUUGAGCAUUGACCCAUGAUCAAUAUAAUGAAAAAGGGCAAGAGAAGUAAAGAUAAAGGUGUGUUUUACUAGAAAAAUAGUGAGAUAAUUGGAAUGUAAUCUUUACUUGGGAAAUGGAUCCUUCCUUAUUCCUCACUGGCAUUUUUUGACUAUGAAAACCAAGGAUUGGACACAAAACGCCCUUCAUUCUUAUAACAAUCACCAAAAUGCCACCCAUUGAUAUUUUGCCUUUUUUUUGUACAAUUGAUUGCAUUAUCAUUGGAGAGCAGGAUUCCCUGCUGCAAUCCCAUAGCAGUUACACUACUAACAUGAUCUUAACCGUACACGUGGGAGGCAAAAACAGAUCCAUACAGUCCAACUUUGAUCAUAUCUUCUUCUGAUAGGCCACUGAAUGCCUAGAACUAGAUCUAACGGCCAGGAAGAUUUGACCCAACAGCCCAGAUCAAAAGGUUCGUUUUCUAUACAAACAAAACCACACCUCAUUACACCUCUCCCCCCUUUCUCAGCGAUUCCAUCUCUGUAAUCAUUCAUCACCCGCUCGUAAGCUUCUUUUUUUAUUUCUACAGAAAUUUACUGAAAAGGGCUAGAUUUUUUUCUGAUUUGACUCUUCUGGGUCUGAUCCAAAACCACCCAACAAUAAGCGUGAACAGAGAUUUUUGGGGUUUGGCGAGUUAGGGCUUUGGGGUUGGACUCAGUAGCCGGAAGAGCUGAGUCACUCUGUUUCUUGUGUUUGAUAAGUGUGACUUGAGUCUAUGGAGGCUUAUAAGAAAUGGGUUAGGAGGAACAGGGACUAUGUUCACUCAUUAGAGUCUCUGGCUAAUGUAAGCCCCUUUCAACUUCUGCUAAUUUCGUUUGUCUUCUUUUGAUAUAAUUUUCAAUCAAUGGUGCUGUUUAUGUAUUUUUGUACGGUUUUUGUGCAUUUUUUCUCGUUUCUUUGAGCGAUGUGUCCGUUUGGAUUGAUGGGUUUUUAUUAAGCUUCUUUGUAUCAUUCAUGUUAAUUCUAGAACGGUGAAAAUCUGACAAAUAUUGGUAUUGAACUGUGUUUGGAUGUAUAAGUGAAGCUAUCUCAUACGAUUGUUGUAAAUUGCUAUGUGGAUGCUGUUAUUUUCUUGUUUGAACUGUGGCUUUGUGGGAUUUCCUUAUUCUUGUUUAUAUUUUUCAUGGUGGCUCAGAGAUGGUGAGCAUCUGAUAGAAUUUGAGCUUGAACUCUGUUUGGAUGUGCUGGUAAUGAUAUAUUGUCUGUGUAUUGUAAACUAUUGUUCAGGAUAUGUUGCUUACUUGAUUAUUGGACUGUUUUCUUCAUGAGGCUUCAUAGUGCUUACUGCUUUUUAUCAUCCAUGGUAAUUGAGAGAUGGUGAAAUUUGUGACCAAAACUCAGUUUUGAUCAAUGUUUUAGAAGGCUAAAGACAGUCUUCAGGCGAAUUGCCUAAAUGAGGUGUACAACUUAAACAAAUAAAAAAUGAAAAAUUAUCAAAAAAAAAAAAAA
RNAcentral lists this long non-coding RNA (50538 nucleotides) under Vitis vinifera (wine grape). RNAcentral's name for it is "long non-coding RNA (VVIN_LNC005174)". The stretch from base 29397 to 29477 matches the Rfam family "tRNA". Lineage: Eukaryota; Viridiplantae; Streptophyta; Magnoliopsida; Vitales; Vitaceae. The record is from RNAcentral.